This 76298-nucleotide long non-coding RNA is filed under the name Malus domestica (apple). RNAcentral describes it as "long non-coding RNA (MDOM_LNC014371)". Lineage: Eukaryota; Viridiplantae; Streptophyta; Magnoliopsida; Rosales; Rosaceae. The record is from RNAcentral.
GACGUGCUGCUUUCAUUAAUACACCAGCCACUAAAUCCCAACGAUGAGCAAGGCUACAAGAUUGAACGAACAGAUGUGAAAGCCAUCUUACUCGACAUGAUUACGGGUUCCUUUGACACUUCAGCUACCGCAAUUGUUUGGAACCUUGCCGAACUGUUGAGGCACCCGAGGGUGAUGAAAAAUCUCCAAGAAGAGCUCCAACGUGUGAUUGGAACAGACCGAAUGGUGGAAGAGAGCGAUCUGCGAAAGUUAAGUUACUUGAAUGCCGUGAUCAAGGAGAGCUUUAGACUACACCCAAUUGCACCAUUUUUAGUUCCUCGGGAAUCCAUGCAGGACGUUACGGUCGAUGGAUAUUACAUACCUAAGAAAUCGAAAAUUCUAAUAAACACUUGGGCUAUUGGAAGAGAUCCUAACGUUUGGUCGGAUAAUGCGGGAAAAUUUUACCCUGAAAGGUUUAUAAAUAGCAAUGUUGAUCUUCGGGGGCAUGACUUCCAGCUUCUACCAUUUGGGUCUGGCAGAAGAGGUUGCCCUGGUAUGCAAUUAGGGUUAACCACAGUUCGGCUGGCUCUGGCAAACAUUGUCCACUGCUUUAACUGGGACCUUCCAAGUGGCCUCCUACCUCAAGACUUGGACAUGACUGAGACGUUCGGCUCGGUGCCGACAAAAGCCCAACACUUGCUCGCCAUGCCGACCUACCGCCUGGAGACUAAAUAGACGUUUAUCCGUUUUCUAUCGAUAUACUAAAUGCCGUAAGAAAUUAUAUCAGGUCGGGUGGCUUGAAUAUUUGUACGUGUCUUAAAUGUCAUGCAUGGUGAGACUUCUAUUGUAACUAUACCUUAGUGUGCUAAGAAAACGGCUUUCUAUUAUAGAUUUGUAACCCUAUAUAAACACUUAUUUCCAUUCUAAAUAACUUUAAGCUUUUAUUUAUAAUAGAAAAAUGAGGAAUUCACGAAGAAAAAGUGAGGGAAAAUUCGUCGACAUUAUCCGACUAAACAAUUAUCAGAGACUUUCACAAUUAGAUUAGUUACACAUAUAUGUUACUGACAGUUCAGAAUCAAAAUGUAGUAUCCACGAAUUGUAAUUUGAAGAUGUUUUUAUACUGGCACCAUCAAAUCCAACCAAUUAAGAUAUCAACAUUAUAAUUGCGUACACUGCUACAACUCACCUGCAUCCUCUUCAAAAUUGAUUCUCUGCAUAUACUAAUUAAAUGAAGUAUCCAUUUUUUACCCCAACUAUUAGCUAAAGUGGGGGCAUUGCCCCAACUAUGAAGUAUCCAUUUCUUUAUUAACGAAAAAUACUUGCUAUACAGAAUAAAAUAAUAUAAAUAAUACAAUAAUUAAAUGAUACUAACUUGAUUGAAUCACAUAUAGAGGCUAGUGCUUAAGCUAUGUCUUAUGUCCCACUCUUGUGCUUGUGGUUCUACGAUGUCUGCUCGAUCAUGAUACAACUAUCUAAUUCUACAACAUGCAUUGGAUUAUAGAAUUCUGGCGAAUUGUUUUGUGUGUUUACUCUCUAGAAAUUUUGUACGGAAGAGGAGGGAGAAAAGAUGAAAAUACUAGAAACUAAGACUGUGAAUAUAUAGGUUGUUUCACACUCUUUCAAAUACUUGUUGAACGUAUUUGAAAAUGCACAACUCUUUCUAAGAGCUGUGUCUCUUAAUCAAAACAGUUUUUAAUUAAUAUGUUAAUUAAAAACUUAAUCUGAAAUUAAAAUUAAUGAACUUUGAUUAAUUUUAACUUCCAAGGCCCCAAGUGCCCCAAUUGAUUAAUUAAUAUUAAUUGUAUUAGGCUAUAUUAUACAAGCCUAAUCCACACAAUCAUAAGGUCCAAGCCUUCAAUCCAUUUCCAAAUGGUCAAAUCCUAAUUAAUAGAAUAAAGGACUAGACCUAUAUAAAGGCAUUGGGAACUAAAUGUUCCCCGAUGUGGGACACUAAAAGUCUCAAAACUCCAACAAUACCCCACAUUUUGAGAUGACUAUGUGGUCCUAAAGAAACUAAGAUACGAGAGUAAACAAUAGAUGUGACAUACAUCAGGAGAUGUGUCUUUGGACUUGAACCUACCUUAGUAUAUACUGAUCAUAUUUACUAGAUGACGCAGUGAAUAUAAAAUCUUGAAUGGUUCAUCUCCACAGUAAACCAAGACAAUAAGCAAAACAUAUGCCACACCAACACAUCACAAAUUCAUACGUUUGUGUUCUUUUUUGUCCUGAACAAAUCCUGGAUUCAUGAGAGCUUUAGAGAAUGUAGCCAUGUAAUUCUCAUAAAUGUGACCCCACAUUUACUCUCAUAUAGGUGAUAUUGAUUAGGAAUAGGCUGCUACUAUUCCACUUGAUUCACAAGUAUCAAUAUCAUUAAACUAAUGUAUCCUACACUUAUUAGCAGUCACCACACUUCUUCCAUUAUAGGAAUGGGUAUGUAAGUUUGUUUGUAACAUCCUACAUCGUCCAGGGGAAUGGAUUCUAUAAGCCUUAUAUGUAUAUUCCCAUCUUUAACUAGCACGAGGCCUUUUGGGAGCUCAUUGGCUUCGGGUUCCGUCGGAACUUCGAAGUUAAGCGAGAAGGUGACCAAAGCAUUUCCAUGAUGGGUGACCCAUUGGGAAGUUGCUCGUGAGUUCCCAUAAACAAAACCGUGAGGGCGUGGUCGGGGCCCAAAGUGGACAAUAUCGUGCUACGGUGGUGGAACGGGCCCGGGAUAUGGUGGACCCGGGCCAGGAUGUGACAAAUGGUAUCAGAGCCAAUCCCUGGCCAGAAGUGUGCCGACGAGGACGUCGGGCCCUUAAGGGGGGUGGAUUGUAACAUCUUACAUCGUCCAGGGAAAUGAAUUCUAUAAGUCUUAUAUGUAUAUUCCCAUCUCUAACUAGCACGCGACCUUUUGGGAGCUCAUUGGCUUCAGGUUCCGUCGGAACUCCAAAGUUAAGCGAGAAGGUGGCUAGGUCACUUCCAUGAUGGGUGACCCACUGGGAAGUUUCUCGUGAGUUCCUAUAAACAAAACCGUGAGGGCGUGGUCGGGGUCCAAAGCGGACAAUAUCGUGCUACGGUGGUGGAACGAGCCCUGGAUGUGGUGGACUCGGGCCGGGAUGUGACAGUGUUUCUUCUUUAAAUCUAGCCAAACCAGUUUGCCUAUUGAACCUAGACCAUGGGAUCUCCAAUAAACUAGGUUAGGUUUCCGUUUGGCAAUUUCAUUUUAUUCUAUUGGUUUUAAACACAUUCCCCUCGAUGUAUGCUUAACUUGCUCUCUAGACAAACCUUUAGUAAGCGGAUCCGUAAUAUUAUCUUUUGACUUAACAUAGUCAAUAGAAAUUACACCACUAGAAAGCCAUUGGUUUAUUGUUUUAUGCCUUCGUCUAAUUUGUCUAGACGUCCCAUUGUAUACAGUAUUUUUAGCUCGAUAUGUGCAGCUAAACUAUCAUAGUGUAUACAUAUUGCCGUUACAGGUUAGGCCAUAUGGGAACAUCUUCAAAAAAAUAUCUUAGUCACUCAGCUUAUUCUCCAGCCUUAUCGAGAGCUAUAAAUUUUGUUUCCAUCAUUGAUCGGGCUAUGCACAUUUGUUUGGAAGAUUUUCAAGAUAUUGCUGCUCUUCCCAAAGUAAAUACAUAUCACUUAUGGAUUUCAUAUCAAUAUUAUCGGAUAUCCAAUUCGUAUCAGUAAAUCCUUUAAGCACAGGAGGAUACUUUGUAUAAUGCAAUCAAUAAUUUAGUGUAUGCUUUAAGUAUCUCAAUACUCGAAUUAACGUUUCCCAAUGAUCAUGCCUACGAUUGCAUGUAUAUCUACUAAGUCUACUCAUUGAGUAUGCUAUAUCAGGCUUUGUACAGUUCAUAAUGUACAUAAGGCUUCCAAUAACUUGUGAAUAUUCACGUUGAGAUAUAGCAUCACUACUACUUUUCUUUAGUUUGCUAUUGGCAUCAAACAGAGUAAUUGCAUCUUUACUUUCCAAAUGACCAUACUUUCUAAGUGUAGCUUCUAUAUAAAGGGAUUGUGUAAGAGUAUAACCUUCUUGGUUUCUUUUGAUUUUUAUACCAAGAAUCACAUCAGUUAUCAUAUCGAAACUUGAUUUCAAUAUCUUAUAGGUACAAUUUAUUAUCUCUUUAUUAGUUCCCAUUAUAAGCAUAUCAUUUACAUAUAAACACAACAUAAUAUAAGCAUUAUUUUGAGUUUUUGUGUAGACACACUUAUCACACUCAUUUAUCGUAAACCCAUAUGUGAUCAUAAUAUGGUCAAAUUUCUCAUGCCAUUGCUUUGGAGCUUGUUUAAGCCCAUAUAGCAAUUUCACAAGUUUACAAACUUUGUGUUCUUGACCUUUAACCACAAAGCCCUAGGGUUGUUCCGUAUAUAUUUCCUCAUCUAAGUCUCCAUUUAAGAAUGUCGUCUUUACAUCCAUUUGAUGUAUUUCCAUGUUAUAGAGUGCAGCUAUAGCAAUCAAUAGUCUUAUUGAAGUAAUUCUCGUUACAUGUAAGCAUGUAUCAAAGAAAUCCAAACCAUGUUUUUGACGGUCCUUUAGCUACCAAGCGAGCCUUAUAUUUGUCAAUUGUACCAUCCAGUUUUAAUUUAUUCUUAAAGAUCUAUUUGGACCCAAUUGGCUUAUUGCCAGGGGGCAAAUUGACUAAUUCCCACUAUGAUUUUGCAUAAUGGAAUCUACUUCAUUGUUAAUUGCAUCCUUCCAAAAUGGAGCUUCAGGAGUGGACAUGGCCUCCUUGAAUGAUUGAGGUUCUGUCUCAGUUAAUAAUGUCACAAAAUCAGGCCCAAAGUCCUUUCAAAUUUUUGUCCUUUUACUCCUUCUAGGUUCAAGUUCUUCUUCUUGAACUCUAGAUGGGGAUGAACCAUCAUCAUGUUUUCUAGGUUCGUCAUUAACUUCAAAUACAUCAUCAUGUAAUCUCUUUUUUCAAGAGAUUAGACUCGCCCAUUUUGUAUGGAAAUAUGUCCUAAAAAAAUAUUGCAUUUAUAUAUUUUAUAAUAGUAUUGACAUGUAUAUCGCUUACUUCAGAAUGAAAAACUAAGAAUCUAUAAGCUGAACUAUUAGAUGCAAAACCAAUAAAAACAUAAUCUAUAGUUUUAGGCCCUAAUUUAGUUUUCUUUGGCAAUGAGACUUGUACUUUUACCAGGCAAACCCACACUUUAAGCAAUUUAAACGUUUGGGUUCUUCCUUUCCAUAAUUCAUAUGGUGACUCAUUUCUUAUUUUAGGUGGAAUUCGUUUCAAAAUUUUGUUUGCAGUAAGCAAGGCUUCACCCCACAAAUUGUGUGGAAGCCCGAGCUAUUCAACAUGGAAUUGAUCAUGUCUUUAAAAGUCCUAUUUUUCCAUUCGGUAACACCGUUUUGUUGCGGUGUAUAGGGGGCUGUUGUUUUAUGAAUUAUGCCAUGUGUGGCACAAAAUUCAACAAAGGCAUGAUACUCAUAUUCUCCUUCCCUAUCGGACCUUAAUACUUUAAUUUUCUUGUUAAGUUGAUUCUCAACUUCUACCUUAUAUGUCUUAAACAUAUCCAAUGUCUCAUCUUUGCUAUGAAGUAAAUAAACAUUGUUUGUACCAUACUUGACCAAUCCCGAAACUACUGAGCACCAGUCAACCUUAUACCGUCAAAUACCCAGAAGAGUUUCCCUCCAACCAGGAGGCCAAUCAUAGCGCGACACGUGUCGAUAUCAGAAGCCAAUCAUAGCACGACACAUGUCAACAUCAGAAGCCAAUCACAACACGACACGUGUCAAUGUUAGAAUGAAACUAGAAACUCUCUUCUAUAAAUAGAGAUCAUUCUCUCACAAUAUUUCCUAAUGUCAUUUGUACUAAAUCAUUCACUUGUACUCACUAAAGAAGUGCUUGAACCUAUGUACUUGUGUAAACCCUCACAAUUAAUGAGAACUCCUCUACUUCGUGGACGUAGCCAAUCUAGGUGAACCACAUACAUCUUGUGUUUGCUUCCCUGUCUCUAUCCAUUUACAUACUUAUCCACACUAAUGACCGGAGCAAUCUAGCGAAGGACACAAACUUAACAAUUUAUGUUGUACCAAAGUCCUCGCUGAUUUUGUGCAUCAACAUUUGGCGCCGUCUGUGGGAACGACACUUAUUCCCAAUCUCUUCAGCUUUGCCAAGCUGGUUUCCACCAUGUGUACACUCUUUUUUGACCAGGCACCCCUUUCCAACAUGGGAAGCGAAGUAAGCCACAACACACCAAAUGACACCCAUCUUGUACCUAGUGCGAAGCAACGAAAGAAGAAAGGAAAGAAGGUUGCUCUUCAAGCUAAAGUCGAUGAGCUAAAAGCUCAGAAAAACAAGAUAGCAAUGAAGAAUGAGGUCAUCUAGGAGCAGUAUGAGAAGCUCUUUGAGACACUCCACGAAACUAGGCAUACUCAAACACGCGAGCUCGUUACCCCUGUGGACAUCAACCAUCAUCUGGGUGCCCCCAACACGGAGGGUCACCUCCAUUCGACAUGGGUAUCCUUGAUGAGGAAUGAGCUAAUCAUCAAAACAUUGAUCAAUAUGAGACUUCUCUUAACCCAGAUACUUCGACCCGAAGUAGAAGAAGUGGACGAAGACCUCUCCUUGCAGAAGGGUUGGAAGGAUCGAAAGCCAUUUAUCAUAACUGCCGAGACUUCCUAAAGCAAUGUCCAGAGAAUCCCCUCCACAUAUGCUCGAAGAUCAAUGACCCAAGGGUUUCUGAAAAACUCGAUCCCCUCCCACGACCCAGGCCAACUGCCAAUCUAGGGAAGAAACGACAGGUCCCAGAGGAACAUGAAGGUACGGGGGACUCUGAGGUAUUCCGACAGAAUCGCCCUAGAAGUCAGUACGGCGAGUCCAAGAAAAAACCACACGCCCUUGCUUAAACUUUCCUACUUCUAAGAGGCGAUGGAGACUUACAAAAGAAAAUUCCAGUGGUACAUGACUCCACUCAGAACCCCCAUGUCCUACAGCUUCUUGAGCAAGUAAACAAGUUAAAGGCCGAACGUCAGGCCAAGAUACCUGACUGGAACCAACCUAGGCCUGGCCCUCUCACAAGAAGGAUUAUCGACACCCCCUUCAAACGAAGACAAAACAAAAGCUUAGUUUACAACUCUAUACUGGAAUGGAGGACCCAAUAGAACACCUUAACCUCUUUGAGUCCACCAUGGCAUAUCGGAUGCAUAUCGACAAAGAACGAUGUCUUCUCUUCCCCUCCACCCUCUCUGGCGUCGCUCUAAACUGGUAUUGCCGUCUUCCACCUGAGACAGUAAACUCAUUUGAGGAAUUGAGAAAACUGUUUGUCUCUCAACAUAUCUUCCAGACCGAUCGCUUGCAUUCUACAGAUGACUUGUACACUAUUCACCAGAAGUCGGACGAGUCACUACAAGAGUAUGCCGGUCGCUUCAGCCAUGAGUAUUCUCGUUGCACUGAGGCAGAUGACAAGACUGCCCUCAAAGCCUUCACGGCAGGCCUACAUGAUUGUUUCUUCAAGUACAUGAUCAAUGCCAACACUUGGUAGACUUACUCUGAGGUGAUGACACAUGCUUACAACCACGCAUUCGCAGAAGCAAGGACAUACCAAGGGAACCUCCAUAUGGUUAACCCUAAUCAACAAGUGGGAAGUGGAAGUCAAGUUCUACCAAGUGAAGAGAUCUUGGCAAUUCAAACACCUAUUGCAUCAUUUCCUGCCUUAUUUAGCUACUCGCUCAGUCACCAAACGUAUCUGUCUCUUGGUAAGAGGAAUGAUUUUUACUCUCAGCAAGCCCAUUACAACAAGAGGGAUAAAAGUUCGUAUCAAGACAAUCAGGAGUGAACAUACCAACGACUAUUAUGACUAUGGGGCCAAGCCUCAUUCUUUCAAAAUGAAGGACUAGGUACUGAAGGAAAUGCUAUUAUAUGAAGGCAUACGCAUUAUAAAUGUUUUAACUCUCAACCGCUUGAGAUCUUUUGUCACACAAGCCAUUCGGCAAAUAUUUAAAGAAGAGGGAAUUCAGAUAACUUCUUCUGAGUCUUUUGCGUUCCUAGCACUGGAACACUUAGUCUACGCUGACCUACCCUUAUACUCCAACUCAGAGAUUCAACAUGCGUACUUUGACACAAAGUAUGUGAUACUAAGUGUUACAACCAACAUGGUUCACAUAUAAAAAACAUGGAUCCCUUUUGCAUAGCAAAAAUUCAUAAGCAUCACUCAUAUCAAUUAACAUAAACAUCAUAAAUUCUAACACAUUCAUACAUAAACAUCAUACAUUUCAACACAUUCAUACAUAAACAUCAUACAUUCCAACACAUCCAUACAUAAGCCAAAUGUGCUUCGAAAGGGUUUAACAUACUUUGUGUCUUCGACGCUUGCUACAAUGUGCCUCGACACCUUGCCCUUAUUCUCACCAACCAGGUGAUGAAAUGUGAAGAAGGAACUCAUCUUCAUGCCACCAACCAUAUGAUGAAAUGUACAACUCGUACUCUAAUAUCAUUUGGCAACUUGCCACUCAUGCCACCAAUCAGGUGAAAAAAGAACUCAUCUUCAUGCCACCAACCAGGUGAUGAAAUGUACAACCCGUACUCUCCUUCAUGCCACCAACCAGGUGAUGAAAUGUACAACCCGUACUUUAAUAUCAUUUGGCAACUUGCCAUUCAUGCCACCAACAAGGUGAAGAAGGAACUCAUCUUCGUGCCACCAACCAGGUGAUGAAAUGUACAACCCGUACUCUCCUUCAUGCCACCAACCAGGUGAAGAAGGAACUCAUCUUCAUGCCACCAACCAGGUGAUGAAAUGUACAACCCGUACUUUCCUUCAUGCCACCAACCAGAUGAUGAAAUGUACAACCCGUACUCUAAUAUCAUUUGGCAACUUGCCAUUCAUGCCACCAACCAGAUGAAGAAGGAACUCAUCCUCGUGCCACCAACCAGGUGAUGAAAUGUGAUGAAAGAACUCACAUUCGUACUACCAACCAAGUGAUGAAAGCAACUCACCAUUCAUUCCACCUACCAGAAGACGAGUGGUACAACUUGUACAUGUGAACUCCUAGCAUUCACAAAUAAUCAAAAACCCUCAAGCUUGACAACUCAACUAGGGGAGCACUUAUGCCCAACAAGAGUUAUAGUCACCAACAAAGUCUUAUUGUAAGCCAACAACUUCAGUGCAUGGCAUACGGAGAUCAAACUAUUCAGCCCUCUUGCAUCUGCUUCAAACAUUUCCCCUCUGUAACAAUGCAAACAAUACAACUCAUAGAAAGCUUCACACUCUUGAUCAAGACAGUGUGAAGCAAAACCAAUUUAUUGUGCCAACAAGAGCUUCAUCAAUGGAGGGCAACCAUAAUUCUCAAAAGCUUCACAUACUCUUGAUCAAGACAGUGUGAAGCAAAACCAAUUUAUGGUGCCAACAAGAGCUUCAUCAAAGGAGUUCAACCAUAAUUCUCAAAAGCUUCACACACUCUUGAUCAAGAUAGUGUGAAGCAAAACCAAUUUAUGGUACCAACAAGAGCUUCAUCAAUGGAAGGCAACCAUAAUUCUCAAAAGCUUCACACACUCUUGAUCAAUACAGUGUGAAGCAAAACCAAUUUAUGGUGCCAACAAGAGCUUCAUCAAAGAAGUUCAACCACAAUUCUCAAAAGCUUCACACAUUCUUGAUCAAGACAGUAUGAAGCAAAACCAAUUUAUGGUGCCAAUAAGAGCUUCAUCAAUGGAGGGCAACCAUAAUUCUCAAAAGCUUCACACACUUUUGAUCAAGACAGUGUGAAGCAAAACCAAUUUAUGGUGCCAACAAAAGCUUCAUCAAAGGAGUUCAACCAUAAUUCUCAAAAGCUUCACACACUCUUGAUCAAGAUAGUGUGAAGCAAAACCAAUUUACGAUGCCAAUAAAAGCUUCAUCAAUGGAGGGCAACUGCAUUUCUUAAACCUUCGAAGCAAAUUCAAGACUGUUCAAAGCAAAUUCAAUUUAUAUGGUUCAUCCAAACCUUUGACUACUACAAGGUUUGGCUUGCAUCACAAUUUCUUGCUUAAUAGUGUGGAAGCAAAAUUUGUAUAUGUUGUCUAUCCCACAUUUUCAAAUUUCUAGUAUCCCCAAAAAAAAAAAAAAAGAUAUUCAAAACGCUUCAUCAAUGGAGGACAACUACAAAUUCUCAAAAGCUUCACACUAUCUUGAUCAAGAUAGAGUGAAGCAAAAUCAAUUCAUGGUACCCAACAAAAGCUUCACCCAUAAAAGCUUCAUCAACAAAAGCUUGAACUCCAAAGCUUCACCAACAAAAGCUUCAUCAAUGGAGGACAACUACAAAGCUUUCACACUAUCUUGAUCAAGAUAAUGUGAAGCAAAAUCAAUUCAUGGUACCCAACAAAAGCUUCAACUCCAAAGUUUCACCUACAAAGCUUCAACUCCAAAGCUUCACCUACAAAAGCUUCACCCACCACGAAAGCUUCACCCAAAAGUUUCACAACAAAAGCUUUCACCCACAAAAGCUUCCCCCACAAAAACUUCACCCAUAAAAGCUUCACUAACAAAGCUUCACCCACCACAAAAGCUUCACCUACAAAGUUUCAACACAAAAUUUCACUACAAAAGUUCAACAAAAGUUUCACCUACAAGAAGCUUGAAGCAAGAUAUCAAUUCAAUCAUGGUACCCAACAAAGUUUCAACCUCAAAGCUUCACCUACAAAGCUUCAACACCAAAGCUUCACCUACAAAACUUUAAUAUAUAUAUAUAUAUAUUUUUUUUUUUCGAAAAUUCGAAAAUUCGAAAAUUCGAAAAGAAAAAAAAAAUUGCCUAGGCCUACUCUUCUUUGGGCCCAACAAUCAUAACAAAUAUGUAUGAAGAAAGAGUUUAUGACUACCACUUAGAAAGGAAAUGCCUCAUUCGUUAACUCCCUCGACCGGAGACUUGGGGGACUUCUACCAUGUGCUACUGUAUCUUGAUACUCGGAAGUCUCACGACCACUCAGUGACUUAGAUUUUUCAAGUCUCCAAACAAGAAGUUUUCCUCACUCGGGAAAUUAAGGGAGCACUACCUCAACCUACAUGCUUUACUUACAAAGUUUCAACAUACAAGCUUCAACAAAAAGAAAAAUUCAGAGAACUUAGUGAAGAAGGCCUUGGUGUAUUUAAUAGAAUACGUUGAAAUGAAGCAAAGCUUGUUUAUUGAUAUCUCCAAUAAAUUACAAUUAUGUACAUAUACAUGAAUCAAAAUAAACAAACAAGAGGGAGCCUUCACAAAAGUUGCUCAGGAGAAGUCUCAGCAGUCGGCAGAGCCCCAGAAAGAGGAGGCACCAGAGGGUGAUUAUUCGGAGCCUCAGUACUAGGCAGAACCCCAGAAUGAGGAGGCACCAAAGGUUGAUCAUUUGGAGCUUCAUUACGCGGUACAGCCCCAGAAGACAAAGGCAAUAAAUGUCUUUGGAACAAACCCACAAACCUCUGAUGAUCAAGUAAAAUCUGACCAUCAGAUUCCUGCAGCUGGUCGAGCUUCCUCUUCAUGUUUGUAGCAUAGUCAUGUGCGAGCCUGUGCAACUAUUUAUUCUCAUGCUUAAGCCCUCUGAUCUCCUGUUUGAGACUUAUCACUUUAGCCAUCAAUGAUUCAACUUGGCGGGUUCGAGCAAAUAGGCGUUGGGCCAUUAUACCCGGAACCUGCACACUGAACACUGAGAGCCAAAGAAUCCUUAACAGCCAACUCAUCAGACCGUUUGGAAAGUAGUCUGUUAUCUUUGGGAGUGAGAAUGUUCCUGGCCAUCACCGCAGCGGUCAUAUCAUUCUUAAUUACAGAGUCCCCAACGGUAAGAGGACCAGUAGGGGAUAAGAAGGAUGGACGCCAUAUGUUGUCUUGAGAAGGCAUGGCUGCCUUGAGAAGGCAUGGCUGCCUCUUCACUAAAGUUCAAGUCAAAACGACGGUCGGAUGGGCCAGACAUUCUCAGAAAUGAUGAAGGAGAAAUGAGGUGCAAUAAAUCUCUGAAGUAAGGGGAAAAUUCCUACAAGCAAUAACUCUUUGAAUGUACUUCUUGUACACAAUUGGUGCCCUUAUAAAAGAAAGGGCAACAGGGCCGUUGGUUCAAAAAUUCAAGAGACACCACUCUCCGAAUUCCGAAAAGGCACCACUUUCCACACGCAACAUCAGCUCCUCGGGUACCACAGAUAACUUUGCCAAAGAUAUCUGACAAAGUUUAGACACAUAAAUUUUGAAGGUCCAACUACGCUACUAUUACCCACAAGGGUAAAGGAACAACACCACUGCUUGAUAACUAGAAAGUCUCAAUGUGUGUCAACCUCCGUGAUCCGUGGCAAGGCAAAUUGGCAAAAAUACCCAACCUUUACUCAUAUUCAAGAAAACACUCCCAACAAGAUUGUUUGCUAAAAAAUCGAAGAGGCACAGCUCUCCGAAUCUCGAGAGCCAGUCUCCCAACAGGAUUACUUUCUCAAAAAUUGAAGAGACACUGCUCUCCGAAUCUCAAGAGUCAGACUCCCAACAUGAUUGCUUUCUUAAAAAUCGAAGAGGCACCGCUCUCCGAAUCUCGAGAGCCAGACUCCCAACAUGAUUACGUGCUCAAAAAUCGAAGAGGCACCGCCCUCCGAAUCUCGAGAGCCAAACUCCCAAUAGGAUUACUUUCUCAAAAAUCAAAGAGACAAUGCUCUCCGAAUCUCAAGAGUCAGACUCCCAACAAGAUUGCUUUCUAAAAAAUCGAAGAGGCACCGUUCUCUGAAUCACUAGAGCCAGAUCCCCAAUAGGAUUGCUUGUUCGAAAAUCGAAGAGGCACCGCUAUCUGAACUUCGAGAGCCAGAUUUCUUUGGAUAAAACUUGUCUGCAAUCUUCACACGCAACAUCAGCUUUCCAGAUAGCACAAACCACUUUUUCAAAGUGCUUUAACAAAGUUAAAACACGUAAAGCUUACAACUCUCACAGCCAGGCAGACUCUUAUAUAUGUCGACCUCCAUCCUCCACAGCCAGGCAGACCUGCAAAUAAAAAAAAAUGCUCAACUUUUCUUCACGUCCGAGAGGGCAUUCUCAGCAAAGUCUCUCGAAAUACUCAGCUUCUUUUCCUCCCGAUAAUACCUCUGCAAACAAGCCACACUAGAGCAAGAAUAUCUCAUAUCAUCAGGGUUAAAAGCAAAGGUAUCCCAUAUCAUGUUUUUUCCCUAUCUUUUCUUUCGCCUUGUUCUUACCUACAAGACAAGGAGAAAGAGAGCAAUCAGUCAGCACUUGGAAUCAAGCUUCCUGUCAAGAACUGACUGCCUGGAACCUCUUGCCUGAUUACUUACAUGGCAUUGCUCUCGAGUACUCAUCUUCAACAUCUUAUGCUUUCAGAGAAGAAACCACAUUUUCCUGAGGAACAGAUAGGGCAAGUGAGAAGGAUACAAGAAAGCAUAUGGAGACAAGUGUAACAGAACACGUGCUGAUACAUCCACUACUUUGUCAACAGCAAAAGUAUCCUAUAUCAUCAGGGUCGAACGUACUCUAGAUUUGAUGGACUUGUUUUGACCAUCAAAUUCUUGAGUUGGCCUUAUACCUUGGAGGAAACUAGAAAACCCUCCAGCCCAGUUCAAGAAUAAGCCUGUGGAAAGUUACUUCUUCAAAAGCAAAAGUAUCUCAUAUCAUCUCUUCUCCAUUUGCUUCUCCUUAUCCUUGUUGUUGUUUACGACAUAAGGAGAAUGAGAACAAUUAACUGGAAGCCGAAGUCGAACCUCCAAUUCAGGUUGCUUGCUUGGAAGUCUAAUUGCUUACCUUGUCUGUUACCUCCUUUGACAAAUCUCCUAGCUCGGCGACUUGGGAGACUCCUACUAUAGGGUUUGUAUCGCACUUGACCAAGCCAUAAAUUACAAGUAAGCUUCAAGUGAAAUUGAUACAUUACCUUGUGUAUCUUCAUCGGUUAAAGAUAUCACCCCUGGAUGGAGGAAAAGUACUUCCAGAGAAGAUACCACAUCUACAUAUGAGACAGAUAAGGCAAGUGAAAAUGAUACCACACUUCAGUACUUAGAAGUUUCGUGAUUACUCAAUGGCUUGGAUCUUGCAAGUCCCCAAUCGAGGAGCUUCCCUCACUCGGGAACUUAGGGGAGCACUGUUUGUACCAUACUUGACCAAUCCCGAAACUACUGAGCACCGGUCAACGUUAUACCGUCAAGGACCCAGAAGAGUUUCCCUCGAACCAGGAGGCUAAUCACAGUGCGACACAUGUCGAUAUCAGAAGCCAAUCAUAGCGCGACAUGUGUCAACAUCAGAAGCCAAUCACAACACGACACGUGUCAAUAUCAUAAUGAAACUAGAAACUCUCUUCUAUAAAUAGAGAUCAUUCUCUCACAAUAUUUCCUAAUGUCAUUUGUACUAAAUCAUUCACUUGUACUCAUUAAAGAAGUGCUUGAACCUAUGUACUUGUGUAAACCCUUCACAAUUAAUGAGAACUCAUCUACUCCGUGGAUGUAGCCAAUCUGGGUGAACCACGUAAAUCUUGUAUUUGCUUCCCUGUCUCUAUCCAUUUACAUACUUAUCCACACUAAUGACUGGAGUAAUCUAGCGAAUGUCACAAACUUAACAAUUUCUGUUGUACCAAAGUCCUCGCUGAUUUUGUGCAUCAACAAACAUAAAAAUACUUACUGAAAUCAUCUAUAAAUGUUACAUAAUAGUUCUUUCCACCACGAGUUGGAUAUGAUCUAAAAUCAUACAAGUCACUAUGAAUUAAAUCUAAUAAAUCAUUGGAUUUUUCAUGCACUAAUUUAAAGUUUUGACUUGCAAAUUUCAAUUUUGUACAAGUCUCACAUUUAACAUUAUCUAAAUAAUCAAGCUUGGGCAGCAAACCUAAAUUGUGCAUUCUAAAAAAGAAUGAAAAUUUACAUGUCCUAGCCUAGAGUGCCAUAAAUUAGAUGAACCAAUUUUUCAUUCAUAGCAUUAGCAAGUACAUUCAGUUUGAAUAAUCCACCAGCAAGGUAACCCUUUCUUACAAACAUUCCCCCUUUAGUGAAUACAAACUUAUUGGACUAAAAAACUAGUUUGAAUCCCUUAUUACUAAGGAUAGGACCAUAAACAAGAUUCUUCCUUAUAUCGGGGACAUGCAACACAUCAAGGAAGGUUAAUUCCUUUCUAGAAGUGAAUUUCAGAAGACAUUUCCCUAUUUCAGCCACAACAGAUGCAUACACAUUUCCCAUAAACAGAUGCUCAUUUCCCUCGACUUUCUAGUACGAAGAGAACAUAUUUCUGUCACCACAUACAUGGCUAGUCACACCGGUAUAUAUCUACUAAUCAGCGUGGUCAGAUACAAGGUUGAUCUUAGAAAUCAUUGCAUCCAGAACAUCCAAUCAUUUUCAAUCAGGUUUGUGCGGUUGCUGUUGCCUUGAUUUCGAGGACCUUGAUCCCUUCGAUGGCGACAUUUUUGAGCCCUAUGCCCUUGCUUUCCACAAACCUAGCAACUUCCCUUGAUUUUCUUGAAGUCUUUCCCUUUCACACCAGGGACAAAGUUCUUUUCCUUCUUCUUAGUUUUCUGGAAUUUCGGCCUUUGCUUCGAUGAACUUCCUUCAACAACAUUCGCCUUGGCUUCCAUACUCGAAACCAUGCCUUUCUCAUUCUUUUUGUUAUCUUCCUCAAUUCUCAGCCUUACAAUGAGAUCCUCGAGGGUCAUUUCCUUACGUUUGUGCUUGAGAUAAUUCUUGAACUCCUUCCAAGAAGGUGGCAAUUUCUCUAUAAAGACGCCACCUGAAAAGACUCAUUUAUCACCAUCCCUUCAACAUGAAUGUUAUGGAUGAUUUUCUGGAGAUCUUCAGUUUGAGAGACAACGGACUUGGAAUCCACCAUUUUGUAGUCCAAAAAUUUGCCCAUGACAAAUUUUUUUGAACCAGCAUCCUCUUUUUUAUAUUUUUUCUUAAGUGAUUCCCAAAGUUCAUUGGCUGUUUUGCACACCACAUAGACAUCAUAGAACGAAUCAUCUAAUGCAUUGAGAAUAUAAUUUCUGCAUAGGAAAUCAUUAUAAUUCUAGAGAUUUAUAGCCGUCAAAGUUUAUGCAGGAAUAUUAUCUCCUUUUGCACUAGGCACAGUCUUGCGCAUAACAUUAGCCAAAUUCAGAGUUGUCAAAUAAAACAGCAUUUUCUGCUACCACCUUUUGAAGUCUCUGCCCUUAACUUCCUCAGGCUUUUCAAAAUGAGGUUUAGUUCCUGAUUGUUUCAUACUGUUCGAAGAUUGUUGGAGAACAAUUCAGAAAUAAAUAAAAAUAACAGAACUUGAAAACUAAAUUCUUUAUUAACGAAAAAUACUUGCUAUGCAGAAUGAAAUAACAAAAAUAAUACAAGAAUUAAAUGAUACUAACUUGAUUGAAUCACAAAUAGAGGCUAGCGCUUAAGCUAUAUCUUUCGAACAAUAUUUCUGUCCCACUCUUGUGCUUGUGUUUCUACGACGUUUGCUCGAUCAGGAUACAAUUAUCUACUCUUGUGCUUGUGUUUUUACGACGUUUUACGACGUUUGCUCGAUCAAGAUACAAUUAUCUAAUUCUAUAACCCGCACUGGAUUAUAGAAUUUUGGCGAAUUAUUUUGUGUGUUUACUCUCUGGAAAUUUUGUACGGAAGAGAAGGAGGAAGAAAAGAUGAAAAUACUGGAAACUAAGAUUGUGAAUAUAUAGGUUGUUUCACACCCUUUCAAACUAAGAUUGUGAAUAUAUAGGUUGUAAAUAUAUAGGUUGUUUCACACCCUUUCAAACUAAGAUUGUGAAUAUAUAGGUUGUUUCACACCCUUUCAAAUACAUGUUGAACGUAUUAGGCCCCAAGUGCCCCAAUUGAUUAAUUAAUAUUAAUUGUAUUAGGCUAUAUUAUACAAGCCUAAUCCACAUAACCAUAAAGCCCAAGCCUUCAAUUCAUUUCCAAAUGGUCCAAAUCCUAAUUAACAGAAAAAAGGACUAGACCUAUAUAAAGACCAUUGGGAAGUAAAUGUUCCCCGAUGUGGGACACUAAAAAUCUCAAAACUCCAACAAGUGGGGCAUUCAGUGCCCAUUACCCCCAACGACUUUUUUUCAAAGUAAUUCCCUUUGUUAAUUUCUUAUAACAAGUUCAAUAAAAGAGAUACUUUGUAGAUGACUUUCAGUAUUUUUUUUGGCCGGCCUACUACACUUCAGGCUUAUCUUAAGUAAUUCUCUUCUUUGUAGCACAAUUCUUUACUCUUAUAUUUUCUUCUGUCUCGAUCGUCUACCUAUCUUCUUCUCAAACUUAAGAUAAAUCUCAAUUAAACACAAUACCCAAGCUAAAUUCUUAUGAUUUGUCUUAGCCUGAACUCUCUUCUUAAACCUUGGAAGAACUAAGAAAAAACAUACAAGUUGUUAUUAAAAAAAAAAAAAAAAAAAUCAUUUAUUGAUGGAAAAAAUUUGUCGGGCCAAAUACCAUUUUGUCGCCUAUAAUUUUGCCCGACAAUUCUUUUGGGCAAACUUCAUAGCGAAAAUUGUAGCUCAAGUAUUUGCCCAAAAAAAAUAUAAGCUUUUCGUUUGGGCAAGGAUUAUUGACCGAACUAACUUGACGAAUGCAGCUUGCUUUGACGAUACCUUUUCCUCGAGUAUCUAGAAAUAAAAUAAUUAUACAAAAUUUCGCGUGACAAACAUAUUCAUCGAGCAAAGACUUUAAAUAUUUUUUAAAAUUUUGUAAUUAAAACAAUAUUUCAUUUAACUAAUUACAAUAUUUUCAUUUAACUAAUUUAUUUAAUUCUAAUUAUAUUAAGUUUGCUUUAAGCCAUACAAGGACUUAUGUAAUCGACAAACAUGUGUGGGGUUAUUAGGAUCACUAAAGCAAGGUGGCUGUGACAUAUAAACUUCCUCUUGAAGAAUGCCAUGAAGAAAGGCAUUCUUCACAUCAAGUUGAUGCAGAGACCAACCAAAAUUUGUUGCCAAAGCUAGGACCAACCUCACUAUAGUAGGUUUGACAACAGGGCUAAAGGUUUCCCCAUAGUCAAUGCCUUCUUAUUGAUUGAACCCUUUGGCAACAAGUCUUGCCUUAUACUUGGAAAUAGACCCAUCAGCAUGUUUCUUGAGUUUAAACACCCACUUGCAACCUACCAAGUUCUUGUUUGUAGGCAAGGGAACCAAAGACCAAGUGUUUUGAACUUUAAGAGCAUGCAACUCUUCUUCCAUAGCAAACAACCACAAAGAAGACUUGAGAGCUGACUUAUAUGUAGCCGAUUCAGUCUGAGACAAAUCUACUGGUAAAGUAUCUUGAACAAUUGAAAGAUAAACUUUCUUCUUUGAAAUACCACUCUUAGCUCUUGUUUGCAUAGAGUGAGUAUUCAUACGAGGAAUGGGAAGAAUAACCUGCAGAUUAUCAGGUUGAAACUCAUGCUGAAUCUCAAUACUAGUCUCACAAUUAUUCUCAAAAGUAGACUCAUUAUUUGGCUCUGAAUAUGUCCCAGAUGGUAUCUUAGGAGCCACAGGGGAUUGUUGAUCUGUUGAUGCAGUAAUGGAUUGUAAGGAAGCACUGUGGGAACCACUGUGAUGAUCAGCGCUGGAUGACACAGUAUUAGACAGAGUAAUGGUCCUAGGUAAUGGGAUUGUAACCAAAUGAUUCUUCCUAUUAAUGGAUAUAGAAGGAGAUGAGGAGAUGAAGACAGGUUUAGAAGUAGGAUUGGUGGAGACAUGAUGUUUUAAAGAUAAAAUGGAAUAUGGAAAUUCAGACUCAUCAAACACUACAUGCCUGGAAAUGUAAUAUUUUUCAUGAAGAAUGUCAUAACAAAUGAACCCCUUGUAUUUUGAAGCAUAGCCUAAGAAAAGACAUUUUGUAGUUUUGGGUUGUAACUUGGUGCUGUUGUAGGGUUUUAACAAUGGAAAAACUGAACACCCAAAAAUCCUGAGAUGAUUAAUAUUUGGAACAGCUUUAAAUAAUAGUUCAAAUGGAGAUUUUUGGUGAAGGGUAGAUGAUGGCAUUCUAUUAAUAAGGUACACAGCAAUUUGGCAUGCAAAUGACCAAAAAAUUGGAGGUAAGACAACUGUUUCUAACAAGGUGAUAGUUGUUUCAAUAAUAUGCCUAUGUUUUCUCUCUGCUAAACCGUUUUGCUCAGGAGUAUAAGGGUAUGACAAUUGAUGUUUUACUCCUUUAUCUAACAAAUUUUUUUUGAAAAGGUUUACUAAGAUACUCACCCCCACCAUCACUCUGUAAGGUUUUCAUUAAAGUGGCAAAAUGAUUUGAAAUAUAGUUGUAAAAGCCAACAAAUGUGGAGAAGACAUCACUUUUAUUAAUAAUAUGAAACAGCCAACAAUGUCUUGUGCAUUCAUCAAUGAAUGUCACAUAAUACCUAAAACCAUCUAUAAAAGUACAAGGAGAGGGACCCCAUACAUCACCCCCAUACACCACUAUGAACUACUUGAAAUGGAUGAAUUGACUUAGACACAGAAGAAACAAAUGGCAAUUUACAAAACUUGCCUUCCAGACAUGUAUGACACAUCACAGACACUGAAUAAGGUAAUAUAGACUGAUGACAUUUCUUUAACAUGACAGAGACCAUGGAAUUGGAGGGAUGACCUAAUCGAUUAUGCCAAAGGCUAAAAGAUACUUGGUGUCCAAGAUAUGCAACCUGAUACUGUGUAGGUAUAGCUUUACGCCUAGCCGGAAGUGGGAUGUGGUACAAUCUAUUACUACAAUGUCCUUGAAAGAGGAUCCUCCAUGUGGCCUUGUCCUGGAUCCAAAAGCAAAAAGCAUCAUAUAUCAACUAGCAAUUAUUAUCCAGACAUAGUUGAUGCACAGAUAAUAGAUUAUAAGACAAUCUAGGAACAUAUAAAACGGAAUUAAGCUGCAAGGAUUUUAAUGGAGUAUGUAGUGUAGAGGAACCAAUAUGAGAUAUUGAUAAACCUGCACCACUCGUAGUCUGAAUUAUUUCAUUAGUGGGAUAUGGGGAAGUAAGUGACAUAUUACUCAUAUCAGCAGUCAUGUGUGAAGAAGCUCCUGAAUCAGUGAGCCAAAACUGUUGAGAAGGAGCACUUGGUUCACUGAACAGAGUAUUUGUGACAUGCAUAGUUGUAGGAGAUGAAGAUGACAUAUUUGAGUUCCUAAAAUGGCAAUAUUUAGCACUAUGAUUCUUUUUCCCUAAAUUUGACACCCCUAAAAAACUGCACUAUCAGAAUUUCGAAACCUGCAGAUAGGAGCCAAGUGUCUAAAUUUCCCACAUAUCUGACAAGAUGUACCAGAAAGACUCUGUUGCCUUGGUAAAGAUGUACCAAGAAUUACAGGUGCUUGAUUCACAGUAUAAUUCCUAUAGUUAGGCUUAGAGUUCCCAAACCGAUUAUGAGAAUUGUACUGAAAUUUGCCCUUGUUUUUGUUCUUGUUGUAGGUUGGCUUGAAACCAGAAGAGCCUCCAUAUAAAGUACCAUUUGGAGAAGUGUCAGUCUUGGAAGAUUCACCAUAAGACUUCGAGUCAUUAUUAUUAUUUCUGGCAACCAUUGCAAACAAUAAGGGAGUAAUAGGAACAUUUUCAACCAUUGCUUCCUCAGCAAGUAAUUGAGAUCGAAGAUCUUUCAUGGAAAUCGACCCCUAAUGAUUGACCGUAGGGUAUUAUACUCAGAGGAUAUACCAUUCAAGGUUAAAAUGACAAUAUCAUCAUCAUUAAAGUGAACCAUAGCAGCAGCAAGAUGAUCAUGAGCUUCUUUAAUCCUUUGCAAAUACAUAGAGAUCGAAUCGGUACCUUUCUUGAUGUUUUGCAAUUCCGACUUCAUUUGAAAAAUCGUGGCCUGAGUAACAAUCGAAAACUGUUCCUUGAGGCGAACCCACAAAUCACAAGCACUAGUACUACCAAUUGCACAGGAAACAGCCAAAGGAGAGAGGGUAGUGGUAAGUAAUUGCAUCAAUGCCCAAUCAUGCAUUUUCCAAACCUUGAAUUCAUCACUUCAAAUUGUUGGAGACACAUCGCUUGAAGAAAUAGAGGAAUCCGCAGAAUUGGAUACCACAAAGUGAGUCGGACACGAAUGCGACCCAUUCACAAAACCUAUAAGACCAUAGCCUUCAAGAAGCAACUCGAUCUGAAAAUUCCAAGUGAGAUAAUUGGAAUAGUCAAGCUUAACAGUCACAGAAGAUGAAACUAUUGAUAUAAGAGACGUUAUAGGAGAUUGAAGAAUUUGCAACUCAGCAGAAGUCACCAUUGUAGCAAAUCAAGAGAAAAACCCAGAUGAAAAUUUCUCUGAGAACUUAGAACAAACACUUGGUGUGCAAAGAAGAGAAGACACCCAGUCGAGGAAUUCCAAGAAGAAGAGGAACAACCAUCAAUGGAAGCAGUUGAGCAGAAGCAGAAGAACCAAGAUCAGAAACUGUCAAGCACGAAGCUUUUCAGGUGAAUGAUACUAUGUAAACAGAAAGAAGCACAAUAUUCUUGCACAGAAAGAAAGAAUAGUUGUAGAGAGACAAAGUAUUUCUUUUAUAUUGAAUGAAUUAAGAGUUCUUUCCUUUACAGUUAUAUGUUGUAUAUAUCUAAUUACAUUGCUUAGCUACUGAGCUAUAAUAAGACUCACAAGAUCUUGACACUUGUCAUAAUCUCUACUCAAACAAACUUAACCACCUCACACAUAUAAUAUCUAUCAACUUCAACCUCUUUCCCUUCUUCUAAGUUCCAGGCCCAAUUUUAUUUCGUUUUUAGAAAGAAAAAAAAUUCGUUUUUUCUUUAAAAAGUGACAUUAAUACAACUUAGUACUACCGUCUAAUGGUAUUCUUCUUCACUUAUAAGUAAAAUCUUAGGUUCGAUUAUUGUUAAAGACGAACUUAAACUACAUUAUUAUGGCUAGCUCAAUGUGAGGCUUAGCCUACUCCCCCACCCCUUAAUGCAUAUACUAUCGUUUGUUAAAAAAAAAACAUAAAUAUGUUUAUAACAAUAGACAAAUUUAAUUACCAACGUAUAACAUAUGGGCAUAUAACUAGUAUCAUUUGGCGUUUAGAAGAGAUUCCAAUUUAUCGAGUUUAACAAAUUAAACAACUCAAUUUAUUUCUUAUAAAAUAAAUUAGGGCUUAUGGCGAUUUGAAUUGGUUGGUAGAAAUGUUGACCUUAAUAAGGGGCAUGACUUCCAGCUUUUACGAUUUAGGUCUGGAAAAAGAAGGCGCAUGCCAAUGCCAUGCAACUAGGUUAGCCACAGUUCCUCUAGGUCUGGCAAACUUGAUCCACUGCUUUAAGUGGGAGCUCCCAAGUGGUUUGGUAUCUAAAGACUUGGACAUGACUGAGAUUUGGGGAUAUCGCUCUCAGAAACCAAACACUUGCUUGUCGAGCCAACUGCUGAGCUAGCCUACACAACAACCUUCAUAGAGGAAUGAAAUUGAAUUCUCUUUUUAUUAUAGUCGUUUUUUGGGUCAAAUUUAAUGGACAGGCAUGGCAGAUGGCUAAUUCGCAGUCAUUGUAUUUUCUUUUCACAAAAUGAUAGAAAGAUAAUAGAAACUCCUGAAAAAAUGAAUCAGAAGUAGUGCACCUGAAGGAUGAAGAUUGAAUGCAAAAGUUGUUUGUGAACAUUAUACAGGAUUGCUACGACUCUUAAUCCACCCUUUGAUCAGCUAUGAACAUUAUACGGUAUUAGGUUUUUAUUUUUCUUCAAAGUUAUAUAUAUCCUCAUGGUGAUUUGGUUUUUUCACAUAGCUAUACUGCUAUGGUAUACUGAAUAAUUAAAGAACCCAUGUUUCACCUCUAUUGUUUGACCCAACUUGGCACAUUGGAUUCCCCUUCGAUAGAUGAUGACUUUUUGAUAGCUAAAUUAGGUUUCAGUUUUUGUCCACAAUUUAAAUGUACCUACUACGCCUAAUCAAAAGGACAAUAUACCAAAUCUGUCGGAACAGUUGUCUUAGUUGACGCAGCAUGAAGCAAUCAAAAGGGUUACUAACGUAAUCUAUUAAAGAAUGAGGUCUGGAGUCCACCAAAAAUUUGAGAGAAAUUCCAAAGGGUUGAAAAUGAUUAAUGAUUGAAUAAUUAGAAUUUGUAAUCCAAUGACUUAAAUAAAAGAUGGAACCACUCAGAACAACUCAAAAGACGUUGAUAAUUAAAAACAACAUUAAUCGAAUGAUUUUUAUUACGAAACUUUAAAUUGCGUUUUGGAGGCUGAAAUGACAUCGAAUGGCCAAAAUCCAUCGUAUAUAAUCGCAAAGCAAUGUGUUUCAACCGUGGUGUCGUUCCCCUUCCGAAAAUGUAUCACAUGCCCAAUUCAGAGCUUGGACGCCAAAUCUGCAAAUUUCAACUGGGUCAUUUUGUCUUUCAGCAGUCCAUGUUGAAGAAAGUUAGGGUUCCACCAUCAACCAAUUAGCAAUAUGGGGAGUAGCACAGCUUCUUAUAAACUCAUACAAGGUCCCUCCUCCCAUCAAUGUGAGACUCAUUAUUCUCAACAUGCCUCCUCAUGUGUGAAGAAUUUUCAAGCCUAACACAUGGACAACACAACGGGGUGACGUGGAGCUCAUGUGACAAUUUGGCUUCCUUUUGUCUUCUGAUGGUCCAUUAUGAAGAAAGUUGGGGUUCCACUAUAAAACCAAUUGGCAAUAUGGAGAGUAGUCAAACUUCUUAUAAGCCCAUGCAAGGUCCCUCCUCCCAUCAAUGUGGGGCUCAUUCUCAACGCCCUCUCAUGUGUGGCGAAUUUUCAACCCUAACACGUGGACAACACAACAGGGUGACGUGGAGCUCAUGUGGCCAUUUGACUUCAGACAUGGGACAACCUGUUUUGAUACCAUGAAGAAAGUUGGGGUUCCAUCAGAAAACCAAUUGGCAAUAUAGGAAAUAGCCCAACCUCUUAUAAGCCCAUGCAAGGUCUCUCCUUCCAUCAAUGUGGUAUUCAUUCUCAACACACCCCUCUUCAAUCCAUUUAGUUAUUUGUUCUACAUCAUUACUGAACAAAACCAUUAACGUUAAGCAAAGAGUUGUCGUCCAGUUAGUGUGUGUAUAUAUAUAUAUACACACACACACAUCAAGCACCUUAUUUGAGUCCAUGAGAAAAUGUCUCAUUUCCCUCAAAUAGAAAGCUAGAAUGACUCCUUCAGCAAUAAUCAUCCUCAUACUCUUCCUUACCUUCCUCUAGUAUCUCAUCCACAUACUAACCUUUGGAUUCCGAAGGUCGAAACACCAAGGAAUACUGCCUUAUGGGCCUACGACACUACCAAUCAUUGUAAUCUUCAUAUGCUAGGCAACUUUCCCUACUGCAACCUCCAACACUUGGCCGAAAAAUAUGGCCCUAUAAUGUCCAUACACCUAGGCUUCGUACCCAACAUAGUGGUUUCAUCCCCCAAAGCUGCAGAUCGCUAUUCUUGAAAACCCACGACAGAGUUUUCGCUAACCGCCCCACGCUCGAAGUCUGUGAUUACUUAUCCUAUAGGCAAAAGGGCAUGGCCCUAACUGACUAUGGUCCAUAUUGGCGGCAAGUAAGGAAGCUUUGCACCCAGCAGCUUCUUUGUCGGUAAAAAAUUGAGUAUUUUUCUCCAUUGAGAAGGGAGGAAGUGGGGUUGUUGGUUCAAUCGCUUAAGAAGGCUGUAAAGGUAGGUGAGGUGGUGGAUAUGAGUAAUAAAGUUGGUGGGCUAGUAGAGAGCAUAAUAUAAAUGAUGAUAUUGGGGAACAAAAAUGAUGAUUUGUUUGAUGUCAAGGGAAUUGUUGAGGAGAUUAUGUCCUUGAUAGGGUCAUUUCAUAUUGGUGAUUAUGUGCCUUUCCUUAGUCCAUUUGAUCUUCAGGUAAAAAUAUUUCUCUUUAGUCUUUAUCAACUUAAUUGUUAUCCCAAAUAUUUCUAAUGUCGUAGAUGAAAGGACUAUAUAUUUACAUUGUUCUAAAAAAUUUCGUGUAGCGCCGCCUAAGCGCUAGGUGGCUGACCACCGCUCCAAUUAAUCCCUAGGGUUUAAAAAAUUAAGAAAAGUUGCAUAAACAAGUCUAGAAGCCCGCCUAGACCCGCUUAGGCACCCACUUAGGUCGUGACUCUCACUUUGACGGAAAAUAUAUGACUUUCAUUUUGCAUUUUAUUGUUUUUAAUACAUUGUAAGUGGUACUUGGAUGAACUCUCAUUAUGUUUCUCAAUACAAUUAAUGAAGCGUUUGAUGUAGUGUCGGACUGAGAAUAAAAAACAAUAACAAAUUAUAAUAUUAUAUUAUUUAAUUCACUAUAAUUAUUAUUUUAUAUUAUUAAUUCAUUUUAUUAUUAUUUUAUUCUUACUUUUGUCUAUAUUUUUCCAUUCUAGAAACCUUCCUAGUCCUUUCCUAUUUCUUUUCUAUUCAUUUCCCUCACCCAUCAUAAUUUUGCUCCGUCCUCUCCCUCUUAUUCCUCCCCACUCCCUCUGUUUCUCCCUAAGUUUGUCCAUCCUAGUCGUUCUUUUUCUUUGUCCCUCUCCCUUUUCAUCUCCACCUUUUUCUUCCUAUUUUGUCCGUUCAUUCCUUUUUUUUUUCUUUCUAAUUUUUCUAAGACGCAAUUGGCAAAUUAGAACCCAUAUCAGAGUUUGAGUCAUAUGGGUACUCAUUGUUCUGCUUCUCUGGCGUCAACGACGAUGGUUUGCGAUUAGGGAGUUUGGAGUGCAUGUGUAAUUAGAACGGCUCUUGUGAAUGUGUGAUUGGACGACUGCUAUGCGUUUCUGUUGACCCUAGAAACUACAAAGCCUACGUGGCGCGCAGGCCGAGUAAUCUAUAAGCUAACUACGUCAUUCGAUGAGUGCGGGGCGUGCCAACUCGUCGGCCGAGCUCGGCCGAGGAGUAAAUUUUUUGAUGUUGCGUUGGGUGCGCGGCCGACUUCUGCGUCUUGCGAUUGCGGCCGAGGAAGGAACACGUCUCGGCCUCUUGGGCUCUCGAACCUGAAGACAAGGUUACUAUUUUUACGAAGUUCAAUAUCAAAUCCGGCUUUCAACGUGCCGAAUGUAAUAACUUGUAACACCUCACUUCGCCGAGAAGGCUGAUGAGAUGACCUCGACCAAUAAGGAUUCAGAAAUCCUUCUCGACCGAGACUUGGAUAGGUAAUCAAUCGUUCUCGCUGCAGUGCUGUUGAUGCCUACUGCGAGACCAACUGAUUCUACGGUGACAGACCUAUCUAUGCCGACUUAAGAUAUCACCGGUUGCUUCCACAGUGCUGUUGAUGCUAACGGAAGAUGUGUCAGCGAAAAAGAAAAAGAAAAAUCACAAGUUGUGAGAAUUUGCGCAGGGUAAUUUUUGUAUUGAUUUGCAGGGGGCUUGGAUGAUGUACAGCUUCCCCUAUUUAUAGUACUGGAUCUUGAAUCCGAGUUAAAAUCCUACUCGGACUAGGUUUUCCUCUCCGGAUCAACACCACCUCGACCAGUCAUAUUUUCACUGGGAUUGUGAACCUAGUCCUUAACUGAGCCGGAUUCGCUUCUGGGUCACUGAUCCUGCCAAAACUCCCUAUUGUACUAGGACUUGACUUGUGUUAUGAUCUAACCGACCUAGGCUUGGAAGCCCACGAGCUGAACGAUCCAUGGCCUUCUUGCCGCACGGCCUCCCGGGCCGAGAAUGAUCCUAAACUUGGCUCAAACUAUUAUUUUUGGCCCAAACAUUGCCCCCUCGCUUCUGAGGUCCUCGGCCUGAAUUCUUCGGCCGAGUUUCAGCCUUGAAGAAGCAAAUCUACCACUCAGAACCCUAGUGCCCGAGUUCCAAGGUGCAUUUAUUGAACACGAUUGCACGAUCUUGAUCCUGCUAACCAAACUUGCCACGUGGCGUCCUUUUAACACGGCCAAUCCCUAAUAAUGAUGUCUAAGGCGUGCGGCUGCCUGAACUGUCAUGCCAUCAUGACCUUAUGGCUGAACUUAGCCACUCUACCUCAAUUCGCGAGCCACUACCUCAAUCCGUGAGUCACUUGUCAUCGUGCAGGCGUCGAAACGUCUUCCGCCAUUAAUCUCGCCGUCACACGCAAUCGUGCGCCCCCAAAACCUGAGACCUUCGGUCUUCUCAACUGCAUUUCCCAAAUGUUCAUCAUGAUCAGCGAUUCCUUCGGUCGAUUUUGCCUUUUGUUUUGAAUUUCAAACGAUUGCCCUUCCUGCCAAAAUCCUAUAAAUACUGAAAUCCCUCAUUCCUACUUUACGUUUUCAAAAACUCUGAAAUUUUUUGCCCUUGUUCUCCAGCAUCUUUCUCUUUUCCAGGUCUCAAUCUUCAAAUCCCCCAACCCAGAAAACUUUUUACACCGUGCUUCCUUCAUACAAUGGCAUCCUUCAUCUUUAAGCUUUCCAGGGAAUGUGACCAGCAUCAGAAAAUUCUUGAUCGAAGCUCGAUCAAAACCAUACGGUUUGAAAGUGACAUGAGCAUUUCCCACCAAAUCUUAGGUCCUCUUUUCAAGGCGGCAGUACCGUCAACCAUUACUGGACUUCUUCAGGAGCACUGCCUAUCAUCUUUGCUCCAAGGGUUUGAAUGGUCGAGAUGGGAUGCAGCAAAACCCAAGGCUCCUGGCCCUCGACGACCACAACCUGGGUUGUCCGAAUGGAAAAGCUCUUCGGUGAGCAAUGGAAGGCCCUCGGCAUCUACGAUGCCAUCCUCCUCGCUAGCCUCAUCCCUCGGCUGGUCGGCGACUGCGGACUCCGUUGCUGUCAAAGUUGGACAACGAGACUCUUCGGUUCCUUCUCCGAUGGUUUGAUCCUGCGGUGCUGCUUCGGCAACUUGUUGGUUCUGCGUGACUGCCUCAGGUGAGGUUGAUAUCGACAGUGUGCUUGGGGUUAGGACCUGGACCUGUUCCUGGUAGUGUAGCCGGGCAUCCCUGGUGUCGAGAUAAGCAUCUAGACGUGCAACACGUGCUAUUUCAUCGGUCGUAAGGCCGAAGAGCGAAACAGCCGAAAAUACUUCGAAGUGAUAUCGUAAAUACUGAAGGUCCUCCAUUGAGAAAGGAAGGUCGGCUGCAUCGAUAUCAGUGUAUGGGUCGACUUCAAAUCCAAGGACACGAGCUUCUCGUAUGUGCUGGAACCUUGCUUUCAAUCCUGGGUCUGAGGUUUUCUGGAUGAUUCGCUCGGCAUCAGGACAAGUCAGGACUAGAUCAAUGGUGUCCUGGCAUGCCUUCGGUAAACCAUACAGAUUGUUGGCCGAAUGUUUCUUAUGAAAUUCGCGCAUAUAUUCCAAAGACCCCCCAAGGAACGGGGGAUGCAAAUUCCGUCGAAUUCUGAUCAAAGGUUCUUGUAUAGCCGGCAGGGAUAAUUUACUUUCGGCCUCUUGCCUGAAAUGUUCAAGGCGUGCCUUCAUCUCCCCUGGUCGAAGAAGAAGUUUGAUCCGUUUAUCGGCCUCUUCAAACGUGGUUUCGACAUCUUGGUCGACCAGCCGUUUCCCUUGAGCCAACUCUGUCAUAAUGGCCGGAGGUGGUCGUUCAUCAUCAGUAGCAAUUAUGUCCUUCAGCCACCAUUUAGGGACCGAAGUUUCUUGGACUGCCCGUCGGCGGGCUAUGCAAUCUAUCUUUUGGUACUGACGUUUCUGGGAUUUGGACAGUGCGGUGUAGACACAUUUCGAAGAAUGAUAUGUAUACCAUCGUUGAUCUCUAGGCUCGAGAGGUUUGAAGGUUUUUUGGCUCCGCGAUGAUUCUGAACUGGUAGAAUUACGUUUAUAGUAAUCAUCGUCAUAGAAUGAAGCAUCAAAAUCGAGGCGCCGCCUGACCGGGGGUGUCUCCUCUAUCCGUACUUUAGGACCGAGCCUAUCAAAAACCCCUUGAUGUUGGCCUACUUUAGCUACCUUUUGCCGGGUUGCGGCCAUCGGUCGUUCUGCUAUAAGCGAAGAGGGCUUCUCCUCUGGCUCACUGUCGACCUUUGCUCUACAUUUACAGCACAAAACCGCCGUCCCACUGUCUUCAUCGGUGCUAUAAUCCAUCAUAGGUUUGACAAUAGCGGGUCCUGUUAAAGCUGUAGGUGGUUCGUUUGAACGAAAUCAGCCAUAAACCGUGGCCGAGAAUUCUGAUUCCGCAAGCGUUGCGUCGCAACAACUUCGGCCUUUCCUUUCCCUUUGUCCUUAGGUAGGCACGCAUCGACCAUAUUUACUGUUGCCGUGGGGAACGGGUCAGUAUCAACACUCAUCUUCUUCUCUGGAAAUUUCAGUUUGCCAUUAUCAAUCCAGCUUUGGACGUUGUCGCGAAACACGACGUAAUUGUUUGUCGUAUGUUUGCUUGAAUUGUGGUAUUUACAAUACACCUUUCCUUUAAGCUCUUCGGCCUUGGGAAUGUUGUGACCAGGCCGAAGCUUGAUGAUUCUUGCUGAUAACAGUUGGUCAAAAAUUGCGUCAACCUUUGUAAUAUCAAAAGUAUAAACUUUUGACGGUUUCAACGUUCCUUCAGUGGCCGAGCGGCUUUUGACUUCCCUAGAGUCAACUUGAGUCAAUGUCUUGCAAACGUAUGGCUUAUCUAUCACUAUCUCAGCUGCAUCCACACUAACGCAUUCAUCAUCGGUUGAUGCAUGAUUGACAGUAGGAUUCUUGUAAAUCGUCCCCCGAGUUGGAACUUUCGAAAUCUUUUCCUCACGGAGCAAGUAAUCAUACUGCUCGACAUGUUGGGCUAAUUCGUACAUAUCCCGAAAGUUUGCCCCAAAGAAUUUCUUUUUGUAUUCGACGUCGAGGCCGUUCAAAGCAAGCCUGACAAAUUCGACUUCGGGUAAAGGCACUCGGCACCAAUUCCUGGCUGAUUUGAACUUGGUAAGAUAAUCCAUUGGUGACUCAUCAGAUGCUUGAGCCAUCCUUGCUAAUGAGGAAACUGACAUCUCCAUCCCUGGCCGAUAAAACUGCUCGUGGAAUUUCUCGACCAACUCAUCCCAGUCUUGGACGGAAUUAGGAGGGAGAUUGAUAUACCAGGCGAAUGCUGAGCCGGUCAAUGAGAAGUUGAAUAGCCGUAACUUAUGGAAAUCACUAUUAACAUCCCUGCAUUGCGCGGUGAAACGAGCCACGUGCUCCAACGAAGAUAGGGACGAUUCACCGGUAAAAAGGCUAAAAUCUGGGAUCUUGAAACCCUUCGGGUAUCUGAACGUUUCCACGUAAGAUGGGUACGGAUGGAUAAACUUAGGAAAAUUCGGCCCUUUCUUCAUGGCCGAGUCGAUCAUCCGCUGAACUUCGGUCACAUCAACAGGUGUUGCUUCGACCCUAUGGUCGGUUCCGUCUGACCUACUAUUCGACCAUCCUCAUUUUUCCAAGUCAAUUGGUUUGAGCCGAGCAGGAAUAAGCUUGGCCGGCACAAUUGGUAACGGAUUGUUUCCUGUUGGUAAUUGCUGGAGAAGAUCGAAAGGCCUGCUGUCACUGACUUUACUAACCAGCAUUUCGAGCAAUCUGGUUUGUCGCUCAUUGGAACUGAGUAUCACGUCAUGCAGCUUGUCAAUGCCUCGACUAAACGUCUGCUCGACUGACCGAGACUGCUCGUCUAGUCACUUUCGAAGAAACGACCUUGUUGGUGGGUCAGAUCCUUCACCACCAUCCUCGUCGCACACCUCUACUAUCCCUUCAUUGAGAACGCAGGUGUUUCUAUUAGGGAUGUCUAGACCGCGGAAUUGACCGCCAAGAUUAACUUCUGUUUCUCGGCGAGUCGCGCUUGUGGACUCAGGUGUCACAGCGCUAAGGGGAUUCUGCGCCUGUGGCACACUUUGUCCUAUGUUCUGAAUCGGCAAAUCUGAUGUCGACUUUCCCAUAACUGUUUUCUUUUUUACCGAUCGUGUUUCAAUUGGCAUGAACUUCGUAGUUUAGCACUAGGUCCCACCGGGCGUGCCAAAAUGUUGACCCUAGAAACUACAAAGCCUACGUGGCGCGCAGGCCGAGUAAUCUAUAAGCUAACUACGUCAUUCGAUGAGUGCAGGGCGUGGCAACUCGUCGGCCGAGCUCGGCCGAGGAGUAAAUUUUUUGAUGUUGCGUUGGGUGCACGGCUGACUUCUGCGUCUUGCGAUUGCGGCCGAGGAAGGAACACGUCUCGGCCUCUUGGGCUCUCGAACCUGAAGACAAAGUUACUAUUUUUACGAAGUUCAAUAUCAAAUCCGGCUUUCAACGUGCCGAAUGUAAUAACUUGUAACACCUCACUUCGCCGAGAAGGCUGAUGAGAUGACCUCGACCAAUAAGGAUUCAGAAAUCCUUCUCGAUCGAGACUUGGAUAGGUAAUCAAUCGUUCUCGCCGCAGUGCUGUUGAUGCCAACGGAAGAUACUGCGAGACCGACUGAUUCUACGGUGACAGACCUAUCUAUGCCGACUUAAGAUAUCACCGGUUGCUUCCACAGUGCUGUUGAUGUCAACGGAAGAUGUGUCAAUGAAAAAGAAAAAGAAAAAUCACAAGUUGUGAGAAUUUGCGCAGGGCAAUUUUUGUAUUGAUUUGCAGGGGGCUUGGAUGAUGUACAGCUUCCCCUAUUUAUAGUACUAGAUCUUGAAUCCGAGUUAAAAUCCUACUCGGACUAGGUCUUCCUCUCCGGAUCAACACCACCUCGACCAAUCCUAUUUUCACUAGGAUUGUGAACCUAGUCCUUAAUUGAGCCGGAUUCGCUUCUGGGUCACUGAUCCUGCCGAAACUCCAUAUUGUACUAGGACUCGACUUGUGUUAUGAUCUAACCGACCUAGGCUUGGAAGCCCACGAGCUGAACGAUCCAUGGCCUUCUUGCCGCACGGCCUCCCGGGCCGAGAAUGAUCCUAAACUCGGCCCAAACUAUUAUUUUGGGCCCAAACAGUUUCAUAUGCACAACGAUUUUGUUUUUGUUUUUUGUAUCGAAUUUUGGGUUUGAAUCUGGUUUUGAGAAUGGUAAGCAUGCAUAAUUUUUUGCCUUUUUUGUUUUCGAAUUUUGAGGGAUUUAGUUUUGAAAAUGGUAGAUGAGAGGGGUGAAGCAGAGUGGAGUUGGUAAAUGGGAUCUGGGUUUUGAAUUUUGCGAGGAACAAGUAGAGGGGGGCAACCAAGGAGUUGGUCAUAGCAAUCCGGUAGAUUUCGGGGGGUCACGCUAAGCCCCUCUAGCAAAGCCCUUUGUCUUGGUUAGUCGGGGCGAGUCUCAUUAAAGCUUGUCCCGGCGUGGAACAAACAUGGAACUGCAUUCCCAUUUAAUCUAAUCCAGUCUAGUGAAUGCUAGCGAGUGCAAACAAAUGCACCCUUAGAGGUGAUUCUAAAUUGUCCUUAACUUUUUAAAUAUCCCAAAUAAUUACCUAAUGUUUUGAAAAUUAAACAUCUGUUGUGACACUAAGAGUAAAGUGAAGAUAUUGCAGUAUUAAGUGAUGAUGUCAUUAAUAUUGAGUGAUAAUGUGGACAAAAGUUAGUUUUCAUUUCAGUCUCUCGUCUAAUAACUACUGCUAGUCAUAUCACCGGACCAACUUUUCUCAUCUCAGAGAUUAACCAAACGCGCGAAGAGAACUAGGGCGACAGCCGACCAACUUUUCGAAAAGAUAAUUGGAGAACAUGGACGUGCUGCUCUCACUAAUGAAUCAACCAUUAAACCCUAACGACAAGCAAUCGUUUGGGGCCUUCGACAUGAUUACGGGUGCCUUCGACACUUAAUCUAACGCAAUCGUUUGGGGCCUCGCAGAACUCUUGAGACACCCAAGGGUAAUGAAGUAUCUCCAACAAGAGCUUCGAACUGUGAUCGGGAUGGACCAGAUGAUGGAAGAGAAUGAUUUACCAAGGUUGCGUUACUUAAAUAUGGUGGUCAUGGAGAGCUUUAGACUACACCCAGCUGGAUCGUUGCUAAUCCCUCGUGAAUCCACGCAGGACAAUACAAUCGAUGGAUAUUACAUACCUAAGAAAUCAAGAAUCCUAACAAACACUUGGGCUAUUGGGAGAGAUCCCAAUGUUUGGUCGGAUAAUGUGCAACAAUUUUACCCUGAAAGGUUUAUAAAUAGCAAUGUUGACGUCCUGGGACAUGACUUCCAGCUUCUACCUUUCGGGUCCCGCCGAAGAGGGUACCCUGGUAUACAGUUAGGGCUAACCACAGUUCGGCUGGCUUUGGCGAACUUGGUCCACUGCUUUAACUGGGACCUCCCAAGCGGCCUUCUACCUGAAGACGUGGACAUGGCUGAGACGUUCGGCAUAGCGCCGUCAUAAGCCCAAUACUUGCUCGCCGUACCAACUUACCGGCUAAAGAUUAAUUAAUUAGACAUUCGUCCAUUUGCGAUGUAUCCGGCAAUGACCAUGGUUGAAAAUAAAUUAUGUCUAUUGCAAUUAUAAACAAUAAGGUCAAAGUGACAAAUCAAUUAGUAGUUAAAAUAAUCAUAUAUGAAGUAAAGGAGAAGCAGAGAACCUCUAAAAGUAAAAAAUAGAAGGACGAUUGGAUAUGUUGAUUAGUUUUCAUAUUUGAUAAAAUAUUGAGAAAAGGUAUCAAUUGUAUCCAGCAUCUGUAUAUUUGUCAUAAAAAACCAACCCCACCAGCCCCCUCUUCCCUUUGUAGCUUGUCCCCAUCCCCAGCCAUAAUGUUUCACCACCUUUACCCCGCUCCCAUCUCAGAUAUUUCACCAUCCAUCCACUGUAAUGUAAGCGCGGCCACAGAAGAAGAAAUGUUGUUGCGAUGAGUAGCAGCGUGCGGUGUGCUAUCAAAAAUUUUCAUCCUCUUAUAUAUUACAUAUGAGUAUAAAUUUUUUAAUAAAAAAGUUUUAACUGAAAAGAAAAUCCUUAUCAUAUGAUUUUAUUUAUAUUGCAAUUGAUUAAGUGGAGCCUACACUUAGGGCUGGUUUGGGGUUGUUUAAAUUUUUUCAAAAGCAGUUUUUUAACGUUGGGGCCUUAAUUGUGUUUGGUAGAUAAAAAAAAAGUGUUUAUUUUUUUCAAAUUUUUGAGUUCAAAACAGCAGAAACAGCUCUACAUAUGUUUUAUUAUUAAUUUUUUUAUCAAACUUUUUUUAUUGAAGGCAAGUGAAUAGUAUCAUUUAAGGAAAAUUGUAUAUUAACAACCCUACCCUCAUUUUCUUUUUGCUAAAACCAUUUUAGCACUAUAGUUUACCAAACACUUACCUGUUUUUUUUUCAUAAAAAAUUUUUAAAAAAAAACACGCAACUAUAGAAGGAGCCUUGAAAAAAACGCAGAACCCCAAGCUAGUCCUUAAAAUAUUAAUUUUUCAAUUUUCUCUAACAAUAACAAAAACUUGUGUAUUACUUUUUCCUAUUUUUCUCUAGCAAUAAAUAAAAAUCUAAGCAUAUUACUUUUUUUUCACAACCAUAAGCAUAUUUCUGUAUCUCUUUUUUUAUCAUGCUCUUUUUGUUUUAAAUCGAUGAACCUUAAUUCACAAUUUCAUGGCAAUUGGAAAUUAUUCAAUUAGUAAGGAUGGGAUGCUUAUUUCAAUGAAAUUUGAAUAUUGAUUAUUGAAUUCUGUAUGAAUAUAUUGUCCAAAUUAUUAUUAUUAUUUUAAAUAAAGAAGAUUUUUUUAAUUCGCACAUAACCCCAAAAAGUCAGAAACAGCCGUAGUACCAAGGAAGAAGGCCAUGGACAUGACAAAAAAGAAGCAUCCACCAUCUAGUCGUAGAAAAGAGUCGCCACAUCAGGCAAGCAACGAUGUGAAUUGCACAUGCAGUGAGAGUGCGGCUGCGGAAGUGAGAAAUAUAGAAGGAAUGAGAACACAACGGAAUUGAGAAUAUAUGUGUUUGGGCCCAAAAUAAUAGUUUGGGCCGAGUUUAGGAUCAUUCUCGGCCCGGGAGGCCAUGCGGCAAGAAGGCCAUGGAUCGUUCAGCUCGUGGGCUUCCAAGCCUAGGUCGGUUAGAUCAUAACACAAGUCGAGUUCUAGUACAAUAGGGAGUUUCGGCAGGAUCAGUGACCCAGAAGCGAAUCCGGCUCAGUUAAAGACUAGGUUCACAAUCCUAGUGAAAAUAGGACUGGUCGAGGUGGUGUUGAUCCGGAGAGGAAGACCUAGUCCGAGUAGGAUUUUAACUCGGAUUCAAGAUCCAGUACUAUAAAUAGGGGAAGCUGUACAUCAUCCAAGCCCCCUGCAAAUCAAUACAAAAAUUGCCCUGCGCAAAUUCUCACAACUUGUGAUUUUUCUUUUUCUUUUUCGCUGACACAUCUUCCGUUGGCAUCAACAGCACUGUGGAAGCAACCGGUGAUAUCUUAAGUCGGCAUAGAUAGCUCUGUCACCGUAGAAUCAGUCGGUCUCGCAGUAUCUUCUGUUGGCAUCAACAGCACUGCGGCGAGAACGAUUGAUUACCUAUCCAAGUCUCGGUCGAGAAGGAUUUCUGAAUCCUUAUUGGUCGAGGUCAUCUCAUCAGCCUUAUCGGCGAAGUGAGGUGUUACAAGUUAUUACAUUCGGCACGUUGAAAGCCGGAUUUGAUAUUGAACUUUGUAAAAAUAGUAACCUUGUCUUCAGGUUCGAGAGCCCAAGAGGCCGAGACGUGUUCCUUCCUCGGCCGCAAUCGCAAGACGCAGAAGUCAGCCGCGCACCCAACGCAACAUCAAAAAAUUUACUCCUCGGCCGAGCUCGGCCGACGAGUUGCCACACCCCGCACUCAUCGAAUGACGUAGUUAGCUUAUAGAUUACUCGGCCUGCGCGCCACGUAGGCUUUGUAGUUUUUAGGGUCAACAUUUUGGCACGCCCGGUGGGACCUAGUGCUAAACUACGAAGUUCAUGCCAAUUGAAACACGAUCGGUAAAAAAGAAAACAGCUAUGGGAAAGUCGACAUCAGAUUUGCCGAUUCAGAACAUAGGACAAAGUGUGCCACAGGCGCAGAAUCCUCUUAGCGCUGUGACACCUGAGUCCACAAGCGCGACUCGUCGAGAGAGAGAAGUUAAUCUCGGCGGUCAAUUCCGCAGUCUAGACAUCCCUAAUAGAAACACCUGCGUUCUCAAUGAAGGGAUAAUAGAGGUGUGCGACGAGGAUGGUGGUGAAGGAUCUGACCCACCAACAAGGUCGUUUCUUCGAAAGCGACUAGACGAGCAGUCUCGGUCAGUCGAGCAGAUGUUUAGUCGAGGCAUUGACAAGCUGCAUAACGUGAUACUCAGUUCCAAUGAGCGACAAACCAGAUUGCUCGAAAUGCUGGUUAGUAAAGUCAGUGACAGCAGGCCUUUCGAUCUUCUCCAGCACUUACCAACAGGAAACAAUCCGUUACCAAUUAUGCCGGCCGAGCCUAUUCAUGCUCGGCUCAAACCAAUUGACUUGGAAAAAGGAGUGGGGUCGAAUAGUAGGUCAGACGGAACCGACCAGAGGGUCGAAGCAACACCUGUUGAUGUGACCGAAGUUCAGCGGAUGAUCGACUCGGCCAUGAAGAAAGGGCCGAAGUUUCCUAAGUUUAUCCAUCCGUACCCAGCUUACGUGGAAACGUUCAGAUACCCGAAGGGUUUCAAGAUCCCAGAUUUUAGCCUUUUUACCGGUGAAUCAUCCCUAUCUUCGUUGGAGCACGUGGCUCGUUUCACCGCGCAAUGCAGGGAUGUUAAUGGUGAUUUCCAUAAGUUACGGCUGUUCAACUUCUCAUUGACCGGCUCAGCAUUCGCCUGGUAUAUCAAUCUCCCUCCUAAUUCCGUCCAAGACUGGGAGGAGUUGGUCGAGAAAUUCCACGAGCAGUUUUAUCGGCCAGGGAUGGAGAUGUCAGUUUCCUCAUUAGCAAGGAUGGCUCAAGCAUCUGAUGAAUCACCAAUGGAUUAUCUUACCAAGUUCAAAUCAGCCAGGAAUUGGUGCCGAGUGCCUUUACCCGAAGUCGAAUUUGUCAGGCUUGCUUUGAACGGCCUCGACAUCGAAUACAAAAAGAAAUUCUUGGGGGCAAACUUUCGGGAUAUGUACGAAUUAGCCCAACAUGUCGAGCAGUAUGAUUACUUGCUCCGUGAGGAAAAGAUUUCGAAAGUUCCAACUCGGGGGACGAUUUACAAGAAUCCUACUGUCAAUCAUGCAUCAACCGAUGAUGAAUGCGUUAGUGUGGAUGCAGCUAAGAUAGUGAUAGAUAAGCCAUACGUUUGCAAGGCAUUGACUCAAGUUGACUCUAGGGAAGUCAAAAGCCGCUCGGCCACUGAAGGAACGUUGAAACCGUCAAAAGUUUAUACUUUUGAUAUUACAAAGGCUGACGCAAUUUUUGACCAACUUUUAUCAGCAAGAAUCAUCAAGCUUCGGCCUGGUCACAACAUUCCCAAGGCCGAAGAGCUUAAAGGAAAGGUGUAUUGUAAAUACCACAAUUCAAGCAAACAUACGACAAACAAUUGCGUCGUUUCGCGACAACGUCCAAAGCUGGAUUGAUAAUGGCAAACUGAAAUUUCCAGAGAAGAAGAUGAGUGUUGAUACUGACCCGUUCCCCACGGCAACAGUAAAUAUGGUCGAUGCGUGCCUACCUAAGGACAAAGGGAAAGGAAAGGCCGAAGUUGUUGCGACGCAACGCUUGCGGAAUCAGAAUUCUCGGCCACGGUUCAUGGCCAAUUUUCGUUCAAACGAACCACCUACAGCUUUAACAGGACCCGCUAUUGUCAAACCUAUGAUGGAUUAUAGCACCGAUGAAGACAGUGGGACGGUGGUUUUGUGCCGUAAAUGUAGAGCAAAGGUCGAUAGUGAGCCAGAGGAGAAGCCCUCUUCGCUUAUAGCAGAACGACCGAUGGCCGCAACCCGGCAAAAGGUAGCUAACGUAGGCCAACAUCAAGGGGUUUUUGAUAGGCUCAGUCCUAAAGUACGGAUGGAGGAGACACCCUCGGUCAGGCGGCGCCUCGAUUUUGAUGCUUCAUUCUAUGACGAUGAUUACUAUAAACGUAAUUCUAGCAGUUCAGAAUCAUCGCGGAGCCAAAAAACCUUCAAACCUCCCGAGCCUAGAGAUCAACGAUGGUAUACAUAUCAUUCUUCGAAAGGCGUCUACACCGCACUGUCCAAAUCCCAGAAAUACCGGCACCAAAGGAUAGAUUGCAUGGCCCGCCGACGGGCAGCCCAAGAAACUUCGGUCCCUAAAUGGCGGCCGAAGGACAUAAUUGCUAUUGAUGAUGAACGACCACCUCCGGCCAUUAUGACAGAGUUGGCUCAAGGGAAACGGCUGGUCGACCAAGAUGUCAAAACCACGUUUGAAGAGGCCGAUAAACGGAUCAAACUUCUUCUUUGACCAGGGGAGAUGAAGGCACGCAUUGAACAUUUCAGGCAAGAGGCCGAAAGCAAAUUAACCCCUCCAGUUAUACAAGAACCUUUGAUCAGAAUUCGACGGAAUUUGCAUCCCCCGUUCCUUGGGGAGUCUUUGGAAUAUAUGCGCGAAUUUCAUAAGAAACAUUCGGCCAACGAUCUGUAUGGUUUGCCGAAGGCAUGCCAGGACACCAUUGAUCUAGUCCUGACUUGUCCUGAGGCCGAGCGAAUCAUCUAGAAAACCUCAGACCCAGGAUUGAAAGCAAGGUUCCAGCACAUAAAAGAAGCUCGUGUCCUUGGAUUUGAAGUCGACCCAUACACUGAUAUCGAUGCAGCCGACCUUCCUUUCUCAAUGGAGGACCUUCAGUAUUUACGAUAUCACUUCGAAGUAUUUUUGGCUGUUUCGCUCUUCGGCCUUACGACCGAUGAAAUAGCACGUGUUGCACGUCUAGAUGCUUAUCUCGACACCAGGAAUUCCCGGCUACACUACCAGGAACAGGUCCAGGUCCUAACCCCAAGCACACUGUCGAUAUCAACCUCACCUGAGGCAGUCACGCAGAACCAACAAGUUGCCGAAGCAGCACCGCAGGAUCAAACCAUCGGAGAAGGAACUGAAGAGUCUCGUUGUCCAACUUUGACAACAAUGGAGUUCGCAGUCGCCGACCAACCGAGGGAUGAGGCUAGCGAGGAGGAUGGCAUCGUAGAUGCCGAGGGCCUUCCAUUGCUCGCCGAAGAGCCUUUCCAUUCGGACAACCCAGGUUGUGGUCGUCGAGGGCCAGGAGCCUUGGGGUUUUGCUGCAUCCCAUCUCGACCAUUCAAACCCUUGGAGCAAAGAUGAUAGGCAGUGCUCCUGAAGAAGUCCAGUAAUGGUUGACGGUACUGCCGCCUUGAAAAGAGGACCUAAGAUUUGGUGGGAAAUGCUCAUGUCACUUUCAAACCGUAUGGUUUUGAUCGAGAUUCGAUCAAGAAUUUUCUAAUGCUGGUCACAUUCCCUGGAAAGCUUAGAGAUGAAGGAUGCCAUUGUAUGAAGGAAGCACGGUGUAAAAAGUUUUCUGGGUUGGGGGAUUUGAAGAUGGAGACCUGGAAAAGAGAAAGAUGCUGGAGAACAAGGGCAAAAAUUUCAGAGUUUUUUGAAAACAUAAAGUAGGAAUGAGGGAUUUCAGUAUUUAUAGGAUUUUGGCAGGAAGGGCAAUCGUUUGAAAUUCAAAACAAAGGGCAAAAUCGACCGAAGGAAUCGCUAAUCAUGAUGAACAUUUGGGAAAUGCAGUUGAGAAGACCGAAGGUCUCAGGUUUUGGGGGCGCACGAUUGCGUGUGACGGCGAGAUUAAUGGCGGAAGACGUUUCGACGCCUGCACGAUGACAAGUGACUCACGAAUUGAGGUAGUGGCUCGCGGAUUGAGGUAGAGUGGCUAAGUUCAGCCAUAAGGUCAUGAUGGCAUGACGGUUCAGGCAGCCGCACGCCUUAGACGUCAUUAUUAGGGAUUGGCCGUGUUAAAAGGACGCCACGUGGCGAGUUUGGUUAGCAGGAUCAAGAUCGUGCAAUCGUGUUCAAUAAAUGCGCCUUGGAACUCGGGCACUAGGGUUCUGAGUGGUAGAUUCGCUUCUUCAAGGCUGAAACUCGGCCGAGGACCUCAGAAGCGAGGGGGUAAUGUUUGGGCCCAAAAUAAUAGUUUGGGCCGAGUUUAGGAUCAUUCUCGGCCCGGGAGGCCAUGCGGCAAGAAGGCCAUGGAUCGUUCAGCUCGUGGGCUUCCAAGCCUAGGUUGGUUAGAUCAUAACACAAGUCGAGUCCUAGUACAAUAGAGAGUUUAGCAGGAUCGGUGACCCAGAAGCGAAUCCGGCUCAGUUAAGGACUAGGUUCACAAUCCUAGUGAAAAUAGGACUGGUCGAGGUGGUGUUGAUCCGGAGAGGAAGACCUAGUCCGAGUAGGAUUUUAACUCGGAUUCAAGAUCCAGUACUAUAAAUAGGGGAAGCUGUACAUCAUCCAAGCCCCCUGCAAAUCAAUACAAAAAUUACCCUGCGCAAAUUCUCACAACUUGUGAUUUUUCUUUUUCUUUUUCGCUGACACAUCUUCCGUUGGCUUCAACAGCACUGUGGAAGCAACCGGUGAUAUCUUAAGUCGGCAUAGAUAGCUCUGUCACCGUAGAAUCAGUCUGUCACCGUAGAAUCAGUCGGUCUCGCAGUAUCUUCCGUUGGCAUCAACAGCACUGCGGCGAGAACGAUUGAUUACCUAUCCAAGUCUCGGUCGAGAAGGAUUUCUGAAUCCUUAUUGGUCGAGGUCAUCUCAUCAGCCUUCUCGGCGAAGUGAGGUGUUACAAGUUAUUACAUUCGGCACGUUGAAAGCCGGAUUUGAUAUUGAACUUCGUAAAAAUAGUAACCUUGUCUUCAGGUUCGAGAGCCCAAGAGGCCGAGACGUGUUCCUUCCUCGGCCGCAAUCGCAAGACGCAGAAGUCAGCCGCGCACCCAACGCAACAUCAAAAAAUUUACUCCUCGGCCGAGCUCGGCCGACGAGUUGGCACGCCCCGCACUCAUCGAAGGACAUAGUUAGCUUAUAGAUUACUCGGCCUACGCGCCACGUAGGCUUUGUAGUUUCUAGGGUCAACAAUAUGACUCCCAACCUGAGAAGUAAGAUGUUAAUCCUGGUACUCGUGAGGAUUUAGAUCUCCUAUACUGCAUUGGAUUAUGAGGAAAUUUCAAAUUUCAAAGGAAUGUUAAAAUUAUGAAAUUUAUAUUCUAGAAUUUGUAAAUUUUUUGUUUGGCUAACUUUAGGAAUAAAGAAAUUCAAAUAACGUAUAUCUAGAAUCAUUAAUAUAUUUGUGGAAGAUAAUAAGUUAGAAAAUGUUACUAGCGCAGGUGGAGGCGGCAGCAAUCGUGAUGGUGGGUGGUGAUGACGAUAGGCAGUGGCGGUGGCCGUGAUGCUUCUCUACGAAGAACCUCGCAUCAAGUACCGGGCCAACCGCGGAGAUUUGUCUCCUUCAGUUUCAACGCGGACAUGCACAUCAAGGAAUCACUUUCAAUCACUGCGGCGGCUGACGACUUCAAAUCUACUAGCAAUUGGGCCCCUUCCCUUGUAGCCAUAGCCUCAGCAGGCAAAGCAGACUGAAGACAAUCCCAAUCCCACCGGUGCCUGAAUUUGAACAAUUUCAUUUUUGUCUUUAUUUAGUUCAACACUAGGGUUUGGAAAGUGAUCAUUGUGACAAAGUUUUAAAUUUAAAAAAAGAAUUACUUAAAAUUGUUAUCAAUUUUUAGGUUUUAAUGUUCAUCAAAUGAACUAUUUGUAGUUAAUUCUUCCACAUCCUUUCCAGUUUCCACCAACUUUUUCAUACCCUUCUUUUAUGCACACAAAUAUAUAUAUAUAUAUGUAUAUAUGUAUGUAUGUAUGUAUGUAUGUAUUGAAUGUGCUUAUCUAAAGGCCUUAACUAAAUUAUUAGCUUAAAAGAAUUUCAAAAAAGAAAACAUAUCAAAUAGUUUAACUAAAGGAAUUUUGCAAUGUCAAAAUUGAUCUUAGCUUCCAUUUUUCUCAGGAAUUUCGCAAAGUGAAAAUCGAUCCAUCUUCCUCCUUAACCUUUCAGGAUUUGUAACUCCUAUAUGCCAUAGACGAAAGCUAUUGAUGUAAUGAAUACUUCUUAACUUGGGUUAAUAUAAAAUCCAAACAAGAAAAUAUUCCAUUCAUGAAAUUUCUUUUAUCUCCCAUGAAAAAUAAAAAAAAAUAAGGUUCUCAAUCCAUUGAUUAAAACCUUAUUGCUUUUCAAUUUUUUUUAUCAAGGUCCUUAAGUUUUAAUAAAUGUGAUUAUUUCAAUAGCAAAAUAUAUACAUGUCAAGAUAAUUAAAUUUUAUUUCCAAAUAUGUUUGUUUAGUGAUAGGACCGUUACAUUUGAUAUAUUUAUAUUUAUGGCUAAACUUUGUAUCAUAUAUUUCUACUUUUAGAUGGUAGCCAUUUUUAAUUUGCAAUUUUUUUUUAAUUUGUACCAAUUUUCUUUCUAGCUUUAAUUUGCACCGUAUUUUUAUAUUUUAAAUUUUUAUUUGUACUAAAUAAAUUUUUUCAACCUUUUAUUUUUACCCAUUAUUAUUUAUAAUAUACCCAUAUUUCUUUAAAACUGUUUUACUUGUUAUAUGUAAAAUAAACUUUUUUUUUUGUAAAUAUACCAUUUUUUAUGUUAAAUGCACCCAUUGUUUAAUAUAAUUUUUUUUUUAAUUCUAAAAUGUACCCAUUGUUUUUUUAUGUAUAAAAUGGACCUUUUUUUAUUUAUAAAAUUUACCAAUUUUUUAUAUGCAUGUAAAAUGUACCUAAAUUUUUAUUAUAAGUGUACUUAUAUUUAUAAAAAUAAAAAGAUCCCUUUUUUUUUUAUAAUCUAGAAUGCAUCCAUAAGCAAUUAUUAUUAUUAUUAUUAUUUGGUUGAAACCCAUAAGCAAUUUUGAAUAAUUGAAUUGGUAGUGUAAAUGAAGCAAAAUAACGGUUUGAGUCUUUAUUGGUAUUAUUGCAUCUCUUUUAUUAUUAGGCUUAAUCGGAUAAAUGGUUCCCGUGGUCAUAAGGUAUUCGGAUGAUAGCCCCUGUGGUAAAAAAAUUCGUAUUUAAACCCAUGUGGUCGCAGUCUGUUAGGAUUUAAACCCCUGUGGUCUAAGUCUGUUAGGAUUUAUGCCCUUCUGUCAUUCCUCCAUUAGGUUUAGGUUGGCAAAAUCGGAUAAAUGGUCCCCGUGGUCAUAAGGUAUUCGGAAGAUAGUCCCUGUGGUAAAAAAAAAUUCAGAUUUAAACCCCUGUGGUCUAAGUUUGUUAAGAUUUAUGCCCGAAACUAGAGGUUCUGUCAUUUCUCCACUAAGCUUACAGGUGGAGCAGAGUUUCUCUGAGGAGACGCGACAAAACGAGGUGGAACUAAUAAAUCACAUAAUUCAUUAAAAUUCAAGAUCUAAUAAAUCAAAUAAUUCAAAAUGCCUUUAUAAAAUUAACGAGUUUUUUUACUCCCAAAUAUCCAACCGAUUAAUUAAUUCUUUAUAACAUAUUCUAUUUUUCUUUGACAAAUAAGACAGUAAUCGUUGGCGUUUUCCCAAAAUUUUACAUAAACCUCUAUGAGAUAAAUAGUUUUUUUUGUGUAAUUGUGAAUGUGAAGUAAGUCUUCGUAUCCUAUUGGUGAAACUAACUAUUUGAAAUUCAACAGAUCCUCUGUUUUCGUCUUUUUCUUCUUGUGAAAUAACUGAGAUGAAUGAAUUUUUUUACCAUAAACUAAAAUCUUCUCUCCCCCCCUCUUUUUAUUGUAAGAUAUUUUUUAUUGAUAGAUACUCAGAGAAACUCUGCUCCACCUGUAAGCUUAACGAAGGAAUGACAAAACCUCUAAUUUCAGGCAUAAAUCCUAAUAGACUUAGACUACAUGAGUUUAAAUCCGAAUUUUUUCUACUAUAGGGGCUAUCUUCCGAAUUCCUUAUGACCACGGAGACCAUUUAUCCGAUUUGGCCAACCUAAACCUAAUGGAGGAAUGACAGAAAGGCAUAAAUCCUAACAGACUUAGACCACAGGGGUUUAAAUCAUAACAGACUGUGACCACAGGGAUUUAAAUCCGAAUUUUUUUACCACAGGGGCUACCAUCCGAAUACCUUAUGACCACAGGGACCAUUUAUCCGAUUAGGCCUUAUUAUUAUGUGGCAGGAGAAUGACUUCAAUUCAAAACCUAAAAUGCAUAACAUUUAGGGGCCAAGAACUGCAAUUAAACUAGGCCAAGAAUUGCAACUAAACUAUCCCAAAUUAAAUGUCUUUUGAAAUUAGUUACACGGUAUCCAGGACCAUGAAAUUUUAAUAUAAUAUGGACAAAAUGGACACUUUUUUAUUGAGCUUAGUUAAUAACUGGAUCUUCUGAACACCAACGCGAGGAGCAAAACGAAGUCAGAAAAAAUUGAGCCCAUUAGCGAGAGCAUGACAAAAAUUAAGAGGAUGCAGUCGAAAUAGAGGCUUGAUCGACAAUGGUUUCUAUGGUCUGACAGGUGCGCAACGAACCGGAAUCCGUGAGACACCAAAAAGUGACAGCAAGAGAAUGCGAGUUCGAGAACGGUGGAAGAGAGGGCAGGUUCGAGAACAACAGAAGAAAGAUAUGAGAGAGUAGCGGAAACCAAGAGAAAAAUCGAGAAGGUACGGUUGAAAUGGAGGGUCGAUCGAUGAUCGACGCGUGGACCGAAUGGGCAAAAUAGCCAUUUGACUGUACAGAGGAGGAAACAGCAAGGCAAACGGAGGAAAAACCGAGGGGCAAAACCGUCCGCCCACUGGUCAUCCACAGUACCACGUGGUUGGGUUUUAGUAUAUAGAGAUUUAUUUAAACAACACAUCCGUUUAUCUUUUAAAUCUUCUCUUAAAGAUUAUCUCUACUAAAAGUCACAUAAAUUUGAAACCAUAUAACUAUUAGAUUUAAUGGUAGUCCUUAGGUGUUCUUUUUUUUUUAUUUAAAGAGUCUUUAAGUCUUCUUUGUAGAGCUAUAUUCGUCCAUUUUAUCACUACAAAUAAAUGUCUUAUUGGUUUUUUAUUUAUCUAAUUUUUUACAAAGAUCUAUGGAUGAAGAAUUGAAAUAAAGACAUUUCGAUUUCCUAAAAAGUUACGAACGAAAACUACUAUGAAAUGUUUCCAAACUUGUGUUAAAAUGGGUGUCCCCGAUCCUGCUAGUUGUAUAUAAAAAAGGUAUAUAUGGUGACAUAUCAGGUUCGUCGUAUAUGACUUAUUUUGUUAUAAAUUAUAAUAUCAUAGUGGGAAGAUUUCGUACGUCCAUAGUUCUCUCUCUUUGAAUACAUUAAUUAAUACUUCUAUCUUCAUGAAAAUAAUUUGUCUUGCAUAUAUAUACUCAAAAAUAAAUUAUAGUUUUUUUUUCUUUUGCCUAUUGAACAUUUUUUUUUUAAUUUAACUGUAAAAUCCACUCGACUCUAGCAUUGCUAUCAUGAGAAAUGACUUUUAGUAGAAUUUAUUAAAUAAAUAAGAAAAAAUAAAUCGCAGUUGACUAUUUGCAAAAUUAUUUGCCCUUCCACCCAGAACCGAUAAAUUUUUCCCUCCCACUACGAAUGUCAAACAAAAAUAUACUUAAAAAGGGACACGCCCAUUUUCCUCCUGCAUUGUUUGACUCCAUUUAUUCUGGGGUUUAGUUCAACUCAGCCGCUGUUGACCAAAAAAUAUACGUAAAUGAAAUCAGCCGUCGAAUCUCUCCAGAUGAAAUCCGACGGCAACCUCAGAAUUAUUAAUUUUCGAGAGUACAGAUAUAUCUUUUAUAUAUAUCGAUCAAACACGUCUCCUGCAUAUAUAUAUGAGUGCCUGAGCAAAUUAAUGUCCAAAUCUCAGUUAUCACAUAGACAGCGAGAAUGAGUCCCAUCCUUCUCCUGGUCUUUCUUGCCUUCUUCUGCUCUGUCAUCCACAUAAUCUCAAGAUCUAAACACCCAAAAAAACUGCCUCCUGGCCCUUGGGCGCUGCCAAUCAUUGGUAACCUUCACAUGCUAGGCAACCUCCCACACCGCAGCCUCCAACACUUAGCCAAAAAGUAUGGACCUAUAAUGUCCAUGCGCCUAGGCAGCAAAACCACCAUAGUGGUCUCGUCCCCCAAAGUUGCCGAGCUAUUCCUUAAAACCCACGACACCAUCUUCGCUAGUCGCCCCAAAGUCCAAUCAUCGGACUACUUGUCGUAUGGCACAAAGGGUAUGGGUUUUAGUGAAUACGGUCCGUACUGGCGCCAUAUUAGGAAGCUGUGCACACUUCAGCUUCUUUGUCCGUCAAAAAUCGAGGGCUUUGCUCCGCUGAGGAGGGAGGAGGUCGGGUUGUUGGUGCAGUCGUUGAAGAAGGCCACGGAGGCCGGAGAAGUGGUGGAUCUUAGUGAGAAGGUUGGUGAGCUUAUUGAGGGUAUAACGUAUCGGAUGGUGUUGGGAAGCAAAAAUGAUGAUACGUUUGAUGUCAAGGGAAUUAUUGAGGAGAUCAUGUUGUUGACAGGGGCAGUCAACAUUGGUGAUUAUGUUCCUUUCCUCAGUCCAUUUGAUAUUCAGGUAUAUAUGUGUGUGUUCAUUUUCUUUUAAUAGACAUGAAAUAUGAACUGAUGAUAACAUGGUGAGAUAAGUUUACGUGUCCCUUUAGGUUACCAUAUUUGUUCCUCUAAUAGUAAAGAAAAUUUUUUAGCGCGAAUUUCAAACUUCAAGACUUAUACCACUAAACUGUGAUAUUAUGUGACUGCUAAAUUUUUUAAUAUGAAGAUAAAAAUAAGAAACUCCAGAAUUAUUGCAUUAAUAGGUUCGCUCCCAUUUACACAAACACAAAAUGCAAUGCUUUAUACACGUAUGUCAUUCAUAUAUCAUGCAAUAGGUCGGUAUCAUCGAUUCAUCAUUGCAUGAUCUCCUUCUCAGGGAUUGAACAAGCGCAUGAAGACACUUAGCAAGACAAUCGACCAACUUCUGGAAAAGAUAAUUGGGGAACACGAACAAGUUUCUAAAAGUAAGCAACUACAAGGCCGCCCUCAAAAUCAUAAGGACUUUGUGGAGAUGCUGCUUUCAUUGAUGAACCAACCAUUAAACCCUAACGACGAGCAAGUCUACGUAGUCGACCGAACUAAUGUGAAAGCCAUCUUACUGGACAUGAUUUCGGGUGCCUUUGACACGUCAGCGACCGCGAUUGUUUGGAACCUUGCCGAACUCUUGAGGCAUCCUAGGGUAAUGAAGCUUCUCCAACAAGAGCUCCAAACCGUGAUCGGAAUGGAUAGAACGGUGGAGGAGAGCGAUUUGCCAAAGUUGGCCUACUUGAACAAGGUUAUCAAAGAGAGCUUUAGGCUACAUCCGGUAGCACCGUUGCUGAUUCCACAUGCAUCCAUGGAGGACAUCACGGUUGAUGGAUAUCAUAUACCCAAGAAAUCCACCAUCUUUGUGAACAUCUGGACGAUUGGGAGAGAUCCAAGUGUAUGGUCAGAUAAUGUGGAAGAGUUUUACCCUGAAAGGUUUAAUGACAGUGACGUUGACCUUAAGGGGCAUGACUUCCAGCUUUUACCAUUUGGGUCCGGAAGAAGAGGGUGCCCUGCCAUGCAACUAGGGUUAACCACGGUUCGUCUAGCUCUGGCAAAUUUGGUCCACUGCUUCAAUUUUGAUCUCCCAAGUGGCCUCCUCCCUAACGAGUUGGACAUGACCGAGACUUUUGGGCUGUCGCUGUCAAAAACCAAACACUUGCUUGUCGUGCCCACAUAUCGCCUACACAAUUAACAUUCAUAGAGAUUUGGUUUUGCAUAUGGUGUGUAUAUACCAUUAUUCUAAAAAUUCCCGCUUAGUGCCAUCUAAGUUCCGUUUAGUGCACCUUCGGCGUUUGAAAAUUAAGAAAUGAUGCCUAACCCACCUUGGUCACAACUCUCACUUACAAAAUAGAUAAAUUUUAUUUUGCAUUUUAUUUUUUUUAAUAAAUUGUAAGCGACUUGUUGAAUAUUUAGAUGAAUAAUCUAUGUUAUUUUGUUUUACAAUUUAUGUAUCUUAAUACAAUUAUGUAAUUCAUUUUAUAUAUUUUACAAUUUAUAUAUACAUAUACUAAAUAAUAAAGUACCUAUUUUUACUUUUUUGAUCCCAUUUGUUAAGUUACAUCGCCAAACCUAAAUAAGAUGAUCAAUGACUUUACUGUAAAGAUCCAUCAUCAUAUUCAUGACACUGUUCCAAUCAUUCAAAAGGACCAUAAACAAAAUGUAAUCUAACACAACUGGCAUGAUUUCGUAAUUUAACUAGUUUAACAACAACCACCACCACCACCACCAAGCCUUAUCGUACUAAGUGGGUUCUACUGUAUGAAUCCUAAAAUACUAUUGCGCUCGGUUUUGCGGCAAAUAUGUUGUCCUCAAUAUAACCAGUUUAUCAAAUGACAAAAAAUUUAUGUUAUAUCCCCGAUUUGUUCUAGCUGUAUAUAUAUGUAUACACAUCCGACACCUACUUUGAGUCCCAUAUAAUUAUUCUGUUAGCAAUAGCCGUCGUCCUCUUUUUUAGCUUCCGUUGGUCUCUCGUUCACAUCCCAACCUCUGGAUUCCGGAGUCCAAAACACCGAAAACAGCCAGGUGGCCCUAGGGCACUACCGAUCAUUGGUAACCUUCAUAUAAUAGGUAAGCCGUCCAACGCCUAGCCAAAAAAUAUGGACCUAUAACGUCCAUUCGCCUAGGCACCAAAACCACCAUAGUCCCUCGAGCCACAGAGCUACUCUUGAAAACUCACGACACCGUUUUCGCUAGCCGCCCCAAAUUCCAAGCCCCUGAGUACUUAUCCGACGCAAAGGGCAUGGUCUUGACCGAACAUGGAUGCUAUGCUGCAUAAGAAAAACCUCGUAGCAUUAAAUGCUACACAUAUAUCUAAACUACUCUAAAAUACGGGAAUGGGAGAUUCGAAUUUGGAAACAAGAGGUGGGCAGGCACACGGCCCUGGCCUCCCCAUCCGCGUCGAAGUGGCAAAUAAAAUAAGUUAAAAGAUGGCUUGUGCUAAAACAAUAAUCUUUCAAACACGAUUACGAUUUACAUCAUAAGAACAAACUGCAAUUGUAAUCCUGGACAUUUAAAAGUAACUAUACCUUCAAAAACUGUGAGCGCAAUGCGAUACUCUGCUUUAAUACUACAUAACCAUUUCAAUCAAAACAAAAUUUUGCUCAAAGUUCUAAGACUUAAAUGUUGUCUAGGAGUAAAAACACAAUUGCAUUUGCCUCGGUCGGAAAAACAAAAUAUCACCAAUGUUGCCAAAAACAGGACAUCAUUGUUGGUAUAUGGUCCAGCCCAUGAUCAAUGUUCUAGAUUAUUCUAAUAAGCAAGUGAGGUAGCUGGAGCAUGCUAGACAAUUCUAGCAUGUUAUUAAGUUGAUGGAAGAAGCUAGAGAGUACUAACUUCCUUGGUUGCAAAUGGAAAGAUCUAGAAGCUACAAUGUUGUGGCUAGUCUAGAAUUAUCUAUGCUAGAGGUUUGAAGAAUACACUAGAAACUAGUAGAAUGUCAAACCCUCACCUAUAAAUAUGGGUGUGAUGUUGUAGUGAAGUAACCAAUUAAGAACCAAGUGUGGGUAGCAAAGGAUCAAGUCCAAAGCUAGAGUUCCACUCCAAGAGUGAGAGUGAGAGUGUUCCACUACACUUUGAGAGUGAAGUUUAGAGUGAUAGAAAGUGUGUGUCAUACUUUCUUGUAUCCAUCAAGCUUUGUCUUUGGCUUGGUAAGACUACUAUUGUUGUACUCAUCUUUUUCAUAUAGUGAAGAUUGAUCCUUAUUCAGUGGACGUAGGCAUAAAUUGCUAAACCACAUAAAUUCUUGGUGUCCAUUUUCUACUUUACUUUGUGGAUUCUCUAUCUUGUAGUACCGACAUUCCUAACAAGUGGUAUCAGAGCCCGGUUGGCUCGUACUACGAGAUGGAAGGAAGUGGCACUAUGAUCAAACUCACCAACUCCAAUUGGGUAACAUGGAAGCCAAGGAUGGAGGACAUUCUCUAUUGCAAGGAUCUGCAUGAGCCAAUUGAAGGAGAUGCCGCUAAGCUCGAGAGCAUGUCUGAUGCCGAGUGGAAGAAGAUGAAUCGCAAGGCUAUUGGCACAAUUAGACAAUGGGUGGACGAUAGUGCUUUUCAUCAUGUGUCUAAUGAAACCAAUGCUAGCGAGUUUUGGACGAACCUUGAGUCCUUAUUCGAGAAGAAGACCCCAGCCAAGAAAGCCUUCUUGAUCAAAGAGCUCAUCUAUGUGAAGUACAAAGAUGGUUUAAGUGUAGCAGAACACUUGAACAAUUUCCAAAAUAUCAUCAACCAGUUGGCUACUAUGAAAAUGACGAUUGAGGACGAGCUGCAAGCGCUAUUGCUACUUGGAUCCUUGCCAGACAGUUGGGAGACCUUUGUGGUGAGUGUAAGUAACUCUGCUCCUACUGGUGUUCUUACUCUUGAUAAUGUAAAAAAUAGCUUGCUCAAUGAAGAAAUAAGGAGAAAGACUUCAAGCACAGAUAGCAUCCAAGUAUUUGUCACAGAGAACCACGGAAGAAGCAAGAGUAGAGAGCCUAGAGGUCAUGGCAGAAGUCCUAGCCGAUCCAAAUCAAGGUUCAGGGGUACAUGCCACCAUUGUGGCAAAGAAGGCCAUAUGAAGAAAAAUUGUCGAGUUUAGAAGAGAGAGCAAAGGGAAGGAAACAAUCAGGAGAAAGAUGAUACUGGCAAUACCACCGCUGUCAUAUGUGGUGAUGUACCAAAAAUAUUGUCUGUUGGUGAAUGUCUGCAUAUGGGCAACUCUGACAGAGACAUUGAAUGGAUCUUUGACAAUGGAGCUUCCUUCCAUGCUGCAUCAAACGGGAGUUCUUUAGUACAUACAAAGAAUGUGACUUUGGCAUAGUGAAGAUGGGGAAUGAAAGCUAUUCCAAAAGUUGAUGUUGAAAGAUGUGAGACAUAUUCCUGAUAUACGUCUCAAUCUGAUAUCCAUUGGUACCCUUGAUCGACAAGGUUAUUAUCACCAUAUGGGCGAAGGAAAAUUGAAGCUUACUAAAGGCUUAAUGGUGGUACCAAGAGCACGACUUUGUUGUAUGUUGUACCGGUCAAAUGCCAAGGUUUUGAAAGGUGAGUUGAAUGUUGUGGAGGACUCAUCUUUAGACUUAUGGCAUAAGAAGCUAGGCCAUAUGAGCGAAAAAGGCCUACAAGUUUAGGCAAAGAAGUCUCACAUUCCCUUUGCCAAAGGUACGUCGUUAAACUCUUGUGAGCACUGUUUAUUCGGAAAACAAAGAAGAAUUAGUUUUUCUGUUCCAUCUACAAAGAAAGGAAAUUUCCUAGAUCUUGUUUAUUCAGAUGUGUGUGGUCCCAUUGAAGUUGAGUCACUUGGAAGAAAUAAAUAUUUUGUUACUUAUAUUGAUGAUGCUUCACGAAGGGUCUGGGUGUAUUUGUUGAAAUCCAAAGACCAGGUGUUUCAGACAUUCCAGGAGUUCCAUGCCAUGGUGUAGAGGGAAAUUGGGAAACCUCUCAAGUGCCUUCGUAGCAACAACGGCGGCGAGUACACAUCUCACCAGUUUAGAGAGUAUUGUGCGAAACAUGGCAUACGUCAUAAGAAGACAGUUCCUGGAAUUCCACAACAUAACGGUGUUGUUGAAAGAAUGAACCGAACCAUCAUGGAGAAAGUCAGGUGUAUGCUGAGAACUGCAAAGUUAUCUAAACAUUUAUGUGGUGAAGCUGUAAGGACAGCCUACUAUUUGAUCAACCGAUCUCCAUCAGUACCAUUAGGUAUUGAUGUUCCAAAGAGAGUAUGGACUGGUAAUGAUGUGUCUUACUCUCAUCUGAAGGUGUUUGGUUGCAAAGCUUUUGUGCAUGUGCCUAAAGAGCAGAGAUCGAAGUUAGACUACAAUGAUACACCGUGCAUCUUUCUUGGUUAUGGCGGUGAAGAUUUGGUUACAGAUUAUGGGACUCAUACCAGAAGAAGUUUAUCCGAAGUAGAGACGCGGUCUUUUAUGAAGAUCAAACAAUUGAGGAUUCGGAUAAAGAGGCACAACCAGAUGGUGCAGUCAGAGGAGUUGAUCCAUUAGCUUCAGAUGAAGAAAGUCACGAUGACAUCCCUAAAGCAGCUGCCAAUGAAGUGCCUACAGAACCAUAUAAUGUUGAUCAGGGGGAGCCUGAUCAAGAUGUGCCAGACCAUGAGAUUGCUUAUCAGGGGGAGCCUAGUCAAGAAGAGCAGAUUCAAGGAGAACCCAAUCAGGGGGAGCCUCCAGCCCCACAUGAGAAUGAAGAUCAGGUCAGAAGAUCCAGCAGAGGUCAAAUACCGUCUACCAAGUAUUCUUUAUCAGAGUAUAUCAUGUUGACUAAUUAUGGAGAGCCUGAAACUUAUGAAGAGGCCAAAGCUCAUAACGACAGUGAUAAACGGAUGAAGGCAAUGGAGUCAGAGAUGGAUUCUUUAUUAAAGAAUGAAACCUAUGAGCUGGUAGAGCUUCCAAAGGGCAGAAAAGCGUUGAAAAACAAGUGGGUGUUCAAAUUGAAAAGGGACGACAACAUGACAAGGUACAAGGCUCGUUUGGUUGUCAAAGGUUUUGGUCAAAAGAAAGAAGUUGACUUUGAUGAGAUUUUCUCACCGGUGGUGAAGAUGACUUCCAUUCAAGUUAUACUUGGUAUGGCAGCAAUCAUGGAUCUUGAGCUCGAGCAGUUAGACGUUAAAACUACAUUUCUCCACGGCAACUUAGAAUAUGAGAUAUAUAUGGAGCAACCCAAAGGCUUUGAAGUCAAAGAUAAAGAAACUUUGGUGUGCAAGCUCAAGAAAAGCUUAUAUGGUCUUAAGCAGGCUCCUAGACAAUGGAAUAGGAAGUUCAACUCAUUCAUGGUGAGUAAUGGGUACAAGAGAACUCAUGCUGACUUUUGUGUCUAUAUCAAACAAUUUUCUGGAGGUAAAUUCAUCAUUUUAUUACUUUAUGUUAAUGACAUGUUGAUUGUCAAUCAAGAUGUUUCUAUGAUUAAAAAGCUCAAAGAAGAGUUAUCUAAGUCUUUUGACAUGAAGAACUUAAGGCCAGCCAAGCAGAAUUUGGGCAUGGAGAUAAUACGUGACAGAUAAUCCAAUAAGUUGUGGCUAUCACAAGAAAAGUAUGUUGAAAGAGUGUUUGAAAGGUUCAACAUGAAAGCAGCCAAAUCGGUAAGCUCACUUUUAGCCAAUCAUAUCAAGUUGAGCAAAGAGUCGUGUCAAAAAACAUAUGAAGAAAAGGAGAAAAUGGCAGUUGUUCCCUACUCUUCAGCAGUAGGAAGUAUCAUGUAUGCAAUGGUGUGCACAUGGCCAGAUAUUGCUCAUGCAGUAGGUGUGGUGAGCAGGUUUUUCUCUAAUCCAAGGAAAAACCAUUGGGAAGUUGUUAAGUGGAUUCUCAGAUAUUUGAAAGGGACUUCUAAGAUGUGCUUGUGCUUUGGCAAUUCCAAACCAAUCUUGGAAGGAUUUACAGAUGUUGACAUGGGAGGUGAGAAAUCUACGUCUGGGUACUUGUUUACUUUUGCAGGGGGAGCCGUGUCUUGGCAAUCCAAGUUGCAAAAGUGUGUUGCUUUGUCCACAACCGAGGCUGAAUACAUAGCCGCUACAGAAGCAUACAAGGAGUUGUUGUGGCUAAAGCGGUUUCUCCAAGAGUUGGGUUUGAAGCAAAGUGAUUAUGGCAUUUAUUGUGAUAGUCAGAGUGCUCUGGAUUUGAGCAAGAACACUACAUAUCAUUCACGCACUAAGCACAUUGAUAUUCGUUAUCAUUGGAUUAGAGAUGCUAUCGAGAAUAAGUUGCUACAGCUGAAGAAGAUUCAUACCGAUAAUAAUUCUUCAGACAUAUUGACAAAGGUAGUCACAAAAUCAAAGUUGGAAUUCUGCAUUAAGGCUGCUGGGAUGGACUCUAGGUAACUUGGAGUCAUGAUUGGAAUUCCUUCCUUAUGGACCGGAGGGGGGAGAUUGUUGGUAUAUGGUCCAGCACAUGAUCAAUGUUCUAGAUUAUUCUAAUAAGCAAGUGAGGUGGCUGGAGCAUGCUAGACAAAUCUAGCAUGUUAUUAAGUUGAUGGAAGAAGCUAGAGAGUACUAACUUCCUUGGUUGCAAAUGGAAAGAUCUAGAAGCUACAAUGUUGUGGCUAGUCUAGAAUUAUCUAUGCUAGAGGUUUGAAGAAUACACUAGAAACUAGUAGAAUGACAAACCCUCACCUAUAAAUAUGGGUGAUGUUGUAGUGAAGUAACCAAUUAAGAACCAAGUGUGGGUAGCAAAGGAUCAAGUCCAAAGCUAGAGUUCCACUCCAAGAGUGAGAGUCAGAGUGUUCCACUACACAUUGUGAGUGAAGUUUAGAGUGAUAGAAAGUGUGUGUCAUACUUUCCUGUAUCCAUCAAGCCUUGUCUUUGGCUUGGUAAGACUACUCUUGUUGUACUCAUCUUUUUCAUAUAGUGAAGAUUGAUCCUUGUUUAGUGGACGUAGGCAUAAAUUGCCGAACCACAUAAGUUCUUGGUAUCCAUUUUCUACUUUACUUUGUGCAUUCUUUAUCUUGUAGUACUGACAUUCCUAACAAUCAUCCCCUUCUCUAGCUCGUCAUCGUCUGCAAAAAAACAGAAAAGAAUGCACACGAUUAAGUUUACGUUUUGAACUUUGAAGAAUGAGCAGUUUCGUUUAGUAUUAUGGAAUGACCACGGGAGAAAAUUAAUGUCGAAAUAAAUUGGUUUUGCAAGAAAGCAAUGUCAAGAGACAAAAUUACACACACGCCACAAGGAACACCUUGUGCAACAUAAUUAGGCGGACUGCAUAAAUUACUAAAGUAUCAGGAAAAACCCCGGUUGCGCAGAAAAGGACUGCACUCCUCUACAUCUACCUUAAAAUUAAGAAACGGCAAAACAAAAGAGAACAGAACUAAAACAUCACACUACUUAUUACAACACAACAGGAUAUAGCACCAGACCAGACCAACAUCACAAACCAGCAUAUGAGAACCAAGUGUGAUUAGCUGAAAAUAAUAUGCAUAAAUUAGGGCUGGUUUGGUAUUGCUGUGCUUUGAAAAAAAACUGUUUCUGUUGUGCUGUGAUUAUAAGCUCAUUUUUACUGCUUUACGUUUUCAGCUUUUUUUCAUCAAAAAUUUUGAAAGUAAGCUGUUUUUAAGUAUUUACCAAACACUUUUUUGAGCUCAGCUUUUUUUAUACCCACUUUUUAUGAAAACACUACCAAACCAGUACUUAGUCCAUGACCCUCUUACUAAACAAAGCAGCCAGCCUAAACAAGACAAGAAAGGAGAAAAGGAAACAUGAAACGGAUACAACACAAAUAAGGAGAUGAUUUUUACACACAAUUUUAACACCAUCAACUUUCAUCAAUGGAUCCAAGAAAUCACAAACAAUCCGUUUGAAAGUUGAACUCUUUGUAAUAUUUCUUACCAAUUAACUGACAGAUUUGGUCAACUGAUAUGACCACUUCCGCUUCCAAAAGGAUGAAUCCUUAGUAGUGAGCUUGAUUAUCGAACCUGAGAAGGAGAACAUAGCAACCCAGAAGCAUCUGCCCCAACCACUGCAAGAUCACAAACAGUACAGAAUUGCCCUUCUUGAGUUGCCACAAACCGUGAGCUACAAUAAUAUGGGCAAGAGACGUCCUUCUGUCCUCGGUAAAUUGGUACAUGUGUUGCCCCACAAAUCACAAAUGGGUUUCUGAAAUCAUAGUUCAGUUGAGAUUUAUCAGUCAUAUUCCUUUCUGCAGCCUGCAGCACUUGCCGGGCUUUCUUUGCUUGACUCUCAUUGGUGGGGUUGGUUUCCAACAGCCGCCUGGCAAAGUUAGCUGCGGUGGCAAUGUUCCCUGCCUUAUAGCAAACAGUCGGUGCACUAAUCAAGGGCCGUAAUUAAAUCUUAUCUUUUUGCUAUAUUUCUUUUACUUCUUAACAGAAAAUUUAAUAGAUGUCUAAUAUUGCAAUGAAUUCAUAAGACGAGGUAUGACAUUGCAAUGUUUAAAAGAUAAUGUAUGAAAUUGUCGUUUGAUCCAUAAUUAAGGUAGUUUUGUGUUAGGUUUCAAUGCAAUUAAUAUGAUUUUUUUAUAUGUAAUAUUUAAAAUAUAAAACAGAAAUUAAGAAAAAAUAAAAUAACGUAAUAAAAUAAUAGUUUAAUUUGACAUAUCGAGUGAAGAGCAAAACAUUAAAAUAUAUCAAAGUGCCACAUAGACUGUCAAAUUUAAAUUUAUGUUUAAAAUUUGACAUUUCCUUUAUAAAUGAUCUUAUGACGUGUCGUGUGUGGAUUUGAAGGAGUGUAGGGACCAUGUGAGCUCUACGGUGUCAUGCAGCCACAGAAACACGAAUUAGGAGAAAUGAAUACGUCUUGACGACCAUAUAUGAGUAGGAAAAAUUAAAGGAAAAUGAUUUAUGUAAUUAAAUGGGUUAUAUGAUCGAUCACGGUCAGUGCUUUCUUACAAGGAAGAAUUUUUUUAAGUGUAAAGUAAUAAAUAAUGGAUAUGAGCCUGGGUUAUAUGAUCGAUCACGGUCAGUGCUUUCUUACAAGGAAGAAUUUGUUUUAAGUGUAAAGUAAUUAAUGGAUAUCAGCCUGGUUUGGUUGGAUUCGGUUUUAACGAAAACCCAAUUCUUUUUUCAUUGGAAAUAUUGCUAGCAUAUUUAGAUCAAUCACUCCAUUAUUCAUUGCUAAAUUUAUCGGUGUAGAUAUUUUUAGAGGCUCAAUACUGAAAAUUUCAUAUGAUCAAUGAAAAAGAAGAAUGCGAGCACGAGGAUGAUUCAACAAACUAGCACAUGCAUAGCUAAGAAUUCAAGUCAGCUAAUAUUUUUAUCCUUAUUCUCUGUCGCGUUUAAUAUUUUUAUCCUUAUUCUCUGUCGCAUUUAAUGUUUUUAUCCUUAUUCUAUGUCGCGUUAUCAAUUACAACUAAUCAAGUAUUAAUUUGAAUAACAUAUUGUAUGUUACUUAUGUUACUUCCGUUUUGUGUUAAACUAUUUAAAAUAAAAUUACUCCAAUAAUAUGGCUCCAUUGGGGUCGUGCUCGAAUUGCAAGAAGUCGUUCUUUGACCAUGAACGGUUCAAAGCCUAUAAGAAAUCAGGGGAACUAAGAUAUACACAUUACUAAAGCUAUAUAUUAAUCAUAUUAAUUAGUUUAAUUUCGAUCUAACGAUGAAUUAUUGAGAGGUGAACACUCUAGCUUCAUGUUCCGUUUUACUUGCUAUUCACGCAAUCAAACGCCGUUCUGCAGGCGCAAAGAAUAUUAAGUCUCCAGAUGCAUAGUAAUGGUAUACCAACAAGUUUCCUUCUCUGAAGCUUGGAAAAUGCUGUUCUGCUUGAUGAUGCAGCAGUUUCUUUCUUUUCUUCAUUUGUGCCCAGUUCGAAGGCGAACUCCGAAACCAAGGCCAAGUGAUCGCUUCCCACUUUCUGUAUAGAAGUAUGAGAAGAGAAUAGGGGUAGGUUCGGUUCCAUUUGGUUCGGUUUUUGGUUGAAACCGGAAACCAAACCGAAGUUACUGUUCGGUUUGGUUUUUAUUCGGUUCCAUUCAGUUUUUUUCGGUUUCAUUUUUUUUCGGUUCGGUUUCAGUCCGGUGUGGUUUUUCCCUUGAAAAUUGUUUUUUUUUUUGUUAAUAUUUAAAUUUGGAUAUUGGUAAACUAGCCCAAAAGAGGACUUGCCAAACUAGCCCAAAAGACCCAACAAACAGUAAAGGCAAAAAACCUAAGCUUCCACUGCAGCACCCGUCACUGAGCAUCCCUACUUGCAUAAACCCUCGCCAUCAACCAACCGACGUCUCGCCGAUUGCCACAUCCAGCCACAAGCACUUGUCCGAACAUAGCCAAAUAGACGAGAACCAAGGGCUUAAUAAAGAGUAAAGAUCCAAAAACCAAAGAUAUUUACCAUAUAGGGCUCCACAAAGACAAAUCCAAGAACAACAUCAACCAAUUUUCCUUCAAAACUCACAAACCAACAGUCCAAACAAACAUCAGCAACAUUUUUUAGAUGAUCAAAAAACACAAAAACAAAAAGAAAGAUUGAUUAAACAAUUAUAUGAAAAUCCAAACGGAAGAUUUCUCGAUCAAUCUGCAUAAUUCAUCUGUUGAACCACCUCCAAGUGGCUUCCGUUGUUUACAAGAGUGCGAAUGUAAAAGAUAAAAUAAAUUUACAAAUUUGCAAAGGGUAAUGAUUCUGAACCCAAUCAUUCAAUCACAAAUUAACAAAUUUACAAGAUUGGGAACAAAAUAGAUGAAAUUGAUAUAGCGAGAGCACCGUUUUCGAACAUGAACUUCUUGAAUCAGGCAUCGCGGCGGUGACCCACCUAAAAAUGAUGAACGGAUUGCUGCAAAUCCUUGUAUAAAUCGCUUGUAGUUGUAGACAUUCGAGCGUUCAACGAAGAAAUCAUGGAGGUGCAAGAAUUCGACGGUGGGAGAGAGAGAAAGCCUGGAAAGUCAGAAAAAAGGAGAUGAAAUAGCAGUAAAUGAGACGACUAGGGUUUUGUGUUUAGAAAUCUUAUAAAGAAUUAAAGAUCCAUAACCAGUAUAAAUAUUUUACUAAUACGAUUGCAACACAAAGCUUAAUGUCAAGUUGGCUGAAGCAAACACUCUCAACUAGGAGGUAAGGGGUUCGAAACAUUUGGCCUCUAGAUUUUGAGUAUUUGUAAAUGAUAUAUAUUAAAUAAUUAAAAAUAAAUCGGUUCAGUUUGAUUCGGUCUAGUUUCUGGACCACAAAAACUGAAACCAAACCAACCUAUUUUAGUUCAGUUCGGUUUUUUUGGCUUUGGUUCGGUGUUCAGCUUGGUUUUUUUCAAUUUUCGGUUUUCUGAACCCACCCUAGAAGAGAGAAUCAGAUUUGAAGAUAACAUUAUAUACAUUUAUUCGAAACAGCUAGCCCAUCAUUGCCACGCUGACUAGGAGUAAAAUGCAAAGAAUCACACACACGCACAACAGAAUCUCCAUNCAUCUGUGUGAAUCUUAUGAAAAUGAACCUCAAUCUUAUCUAAUCACUCAGGAAAAUGAAUCAUACUCAUCUUUCCAUCUAGACAAUGUGUACAAACUUUCACAUGAUCAUCUGUAAUACAAGAAUUUUUAGAAUCUCUUAGCAUAGUAGUCAACACCUUAUUAGAAGGGUGCCCAAGCCUUUGAUGCCACAGGGUACUCCUCACUGCAUGCCCCAAGAAAGCAAAAGACAAACCACCUUUAUUCAACAAUGUAGGAAAAAUAUAUACAGGAACUUUGAACAGUUCAUUAUUGCUACUCUUUCCUUGAUGAAGUAUCACCCCUGUUACCUUGUCUUGCACAAAAAAAACUGUUAUUCAUUACAUAUAAACCAACUAUGAUUAUCUUUGCAUAACUUCUUCAUAGAUAACAGAUUUAUAGUCAACAUAGGAACAUGCAAAAUAUUCUUAUGAAAUAAAGAAUGCGAUGGAGUCUAUAAAGUUCCAUUGCCACUAUGUUUAAUUAUCAAACCUUCAUUAUUUCCCAUAACUAUUUUCCAUAUGGAGUAGCUCUUGAAAGUAAUGUGACAUCAGGACUCAUAUGAUGAGAUGCUCCUGUGUUAAGAAUCCAAGAAUCUCCUACAACAAAUUCAUAAGGGUUUUGAGCAUUCAUUGCUAUGAAAUUUGCUUGACCAGAAGAUGUUGCUCCAUUUGCUUGAACAACAUAUUGAUUAAGAGGUGAAAACAUUGGUGGUUGAGGUCAAAGAACUUAUUGAAAACCCUAAUAUGCAUAGUUAGCAGAAGAUAGAGGAGGUUGAUUCCCUUGGUAAGAAUAAUUGCCUCUGUGCUUGUAAUUAAUAGCUAUAUGGCCUCGUUUUCCACAAAUUUGACAUUCUAGAAUAGGCUUCCUAUUGGUUUCAUUUCUAUACAGACAAGUCACUGUAGUGUGACCCUUUCGAGAACAAAUCUGACAUUCAGGAAUAGGUUCAUACCUAUUAUUAGAAUUACCAAAUCAAGGUUGCCAUGAAUUUCCAUUUCGAGCACCAUUGAAUCGAGGCUUGUAUCCAUCAUUACCUCUAGGCCUAUAAGAGUUAUUGUUAUAAGACCUAGAACCUUGACCAGAAUUCUGUUGAGACUAAAAAAUUAGUUCCAAUAGAUUGAAAAACACCCUAAGAGGGAGAUUGAUAACCAACAUUAGAUGAAGAUUUAUUUCCAUCAUGAUAUCCCUGUGAAGACUGUGAGGAAGAACUAGAACUAGAAGAAUUUUCAACACCACCCUGAGUAAGACCAUUAACAUACAUAACAGUCAUACUAUGUACUAGAGAUUUCAUUCUAGCCUCAACACUCUUCUCAGCACCCACCAAUUGUAAUAAGAGUAUCCCUAGCCAAGAUUACAAUCCUAAUCAUAUCAUAAUCAGAGGGUAGACCAGACAAGGCAGCAAUAAUCAGAUCAUUAUCAGAAACUUUUUCCCCAGCUGCUUGUAACUGAUCUUUAAGUGCUUUCAAUCUCAAUAUAUAUUUGUCAAUUGUAUCAUUAUCCUUUUGCAAAGUAUGAAGCUCAUCUUUUAAGUGAUUAACACUAGUACUAGACACAUCCAUAUAACGAUCUUGUAAUGCAGUCCAGGCCUCAUACGAUCUUUUACAACCAACAACAUGUUCAAUAGCAUCAUUACUUAAAGUAGCAAUCAACAGACUUAACAAAGCCAUAUCUUCCUUAACCCAGUCUUUAUAUGCAGUACUAAUUUCUUUGGUAACCCCAUAUUCAGGUGUAAGAACAAACUUUGGAGGACAAAUCAACUUUCCAGUGAAAUGAGCAAGAAGAUCAUAUCCACGAAGUACAAAACAAAAUUGAAAACUCCAUUUGAUAAAGUUUUCAUGACUAAGCUUACUUGUAAGCAUACCAAGCAGACUUUCAAUCUUCACAGUAGUAGAACAUGAUGAUCACAAACAAUCUUUGUAAAUACCACAAAUCAAGAAAUAGAUCAAGAACCCAGAUGGCUAGAAAAUUACCCAGAUGAAAUUUCACUCAACAACUGUGUAAAAUUACCAAAAACUGAACAAGAAUCAAUUCUUAUAUAUAUGUAUACAAAAAUCUUCCGAAGUCAACAAACUUCGUAUGGCAUCGGUUUUCACUCAAUUCAUUAAACUCAUAAAAUUGAGCACAAUUAUGGCAUCGGCCUUCAAACAAUUUUCAAUCAAUAUUACAAGAACUCAAACAUAUAUGGCAUCAGCCUUCAUGAAAUCAAACAGAAAUGUUGUAAUUUCGACUACAGAGAAAGAAACCAUAUCACCUCUUUUCCAGUGAAGUUAACAGCAUAAGAAGAAUCCAGCAUCAGCCACGCAAGCGAUACUGGCUCUCAAUACCAUAUUAACACUCACAAUAGAGAAUCAAGAAACAGAGAAAUCAAGGAUUCAGAGAAAAAUUAAGAGAGAAGAAAGGAAGCUAAGAAGUAUUUCACUAGAGAAAACAGUAAUUACAAUUGAACUUAUCUUUCUACAAAUGAGAGAGAAAGAGUAUUUAUACACUAAUAUUCAGCUUAGGUAGCUUAGGACAUAAGCCACAGUUUAUGUGUCAAUACUGCUGACGUGGCAUGUCUGAUAUGGACAAUAUUAAUUAAGGAAAACUAAUGAAAAGGGCUUGAAAACUUUGAGUUUUAAUGAUAAGGACAAAAUAAAGGGUAAAGUGAAUAGUACCCAGGAUUGACUUUUUAGUGUAAAAAUGUGGUUUUUCGUUAAAGUGAACAGUACCGGGUGCUUUUCUUAAAGUUCCCUAUUAAUAUGAUGUACAUAUCCAAUACAUUAGGCCUUCUUUAGGCCUGUUUGGUGUAAAUUCUGCAGUCUAAGAAAAAUUAAUGCCACAUCAAAAUUUUAGAUUUUGGAUAAGUUACAUUAAUUUGUCUUUGAUGAAGGUAGAAGAAUGAUUAAUGAUUAAUCAUGAAGGAAAGUGCAUAAUACUAAAGUAUCAGGAAAAACCCCGGUUGCGCAGAAAAGGACUGCACUCCUCUACAUCUACCUUAAAAUUAAGAAACGGCAAAACAAAAGAGAACAGAACUAAAACAUCACACUACUUAUUACAACACAACAGGAUAUAGCACCAGACCAGACCAACAUCACAAACCAGCAUAUGAGAACCAAGUGUGAUUAGCUGAAAAUAAUAUGCAUAAAUUAGGGCUGGUUUGGUAUUGCUGUGCUUUGAAAAAAAACUGUUUCUGUUGUGCUGUGAUUAUAAGCUCAUUUUUACUGCUUUACGUUUUCAGCUUUUUUUCAUCAAAAAUUUUGAAAGUAAGCUGUUUUUAAGUAUUUACCAAACACUUUUUUGAGCUCAGCUUUUUUUAUACCCACUUUUUAUGAAAACACUACCAAACCAGUACUUAGUCCAUGACCCUCUUACUAAACAAAGCAGCCAGCCUAAACAAGACAAGAAAGGAGAAAAGGAAACAUGAAACGGAUACAACACAAAUAAGGAGAUGAUUUUUACACACAAUUUUAACACCAUCAACUUUCAUCAAUGGAUCCAAGAAAUCACAAACAAUCCGUUUGAAAGUUGAACUCUUUGUAAUAUUUCUUACCAAUUAACUGACAGAUUUGGUCAACUGAUAUGACCACUUCCGCUUCCAAAAGGAUGAAUCCUUAGUAGUGAGCUUGAUUAUCGAACCUGAGAAGGAGAACAUAGCAACCCAGAAGCAUCUGCCCCAACCACUGCAAGAUCACAAACAGUACAGAAUUGCCCUUCUUGAGUUGCCACAAACCGUGAGCUACAAUAAUAUGGGCAAGAGACGUCCUUCUGUCCUCGGUAAAUUGGUACAUGUGUUGCCCCACAAAUCACAAAUGGGUUUCUGAAAUCAUAGUUCAGUUGAGAUUUAUCAGUCAUAUUCCUUUCUGCAGCCUGCAGCACUUGCCGGGCUUUCUUUGCUUGACUCUCAUUGGUGGGGUUGGUUUCCAACAGCCGCCUGGCAAAGUUAGCUGCGGUGGCAAUGUUCCCUGCCUUAUAGCAAACAGUCGGUGCACUAAUCAAGGGCCGUAAUUAAAUCUUAUCUUUUUGCUAUAUUUCUUUUACUUCUUAACAGAAAAUUUAAUAGAUGUCUAAUAUUGCAAUGAAUUCAUAAGACGAGGUAUGACAUUGCAAUGUUUAAAAGAUAAUGUAUGAAAUUGUCGUUUGAUCCAUAAUUAAGGUAGUUUUGUGUUAGGUUUCAAUGCAAUUAAUAUGAUUUUUUUAUAUGUAAUAUUUAAAAUAUAAAACAGAAAUUAAGAAAAUAAAAUAACGUAAUAAAAUAAUAGUUUAAUUUGACAUAUCGAGUGAAGAGCAAAACAUUAAAAUAUAUCAAAGUGCCACAUAGACUGUCAAAUUUAAAUUUAUGUUUAAAAUUUGACAUUUCCUUUAUAAAUGAUCUUAUGACGUGUCGUGUGUGGAUUUGAAGGAGUGUAGGGACCAUGUGAGCUCUACGGUGUCAUGCAGCCACAGAAACACGAAUUAGGAGAAAUGAAUACGUCUUGACGACCAUAUAUGAGUAGGAAAAAUUAAAGGAAAAUGAUUUAUGUAAUUAAAUGGGUUAUAUGAUCGAUCACGGUCAGUGCUUUCUUACAAGGAAGAAUUUUUUUAAGUGUAAAGUAAUAAAUAAUGGAUAUGAGCCUGGGUUAUAUGAUCGAUCACGGUCAGUGCUUUCUUACAAGGAAGAAUUUGUUUUAAGUGUAAAGUAAUUAAUGGAUAUCAGCCUGGUUUGGUUGGAUUCGGUUUUAACGAAAACCCAAUUCUUUUUUUCAUUGGAAAUAUUGCUAGCAUAUUUAGAUCAAUCACUCCAUUAUUCAUUGCUAAAUUUAUCGGUGUAGAUAUUUUUAGAGGCUCAAUACUGAAAAUUUCAUAUGAUCAAUGAAAAAGAAGAAUGCGAGCACGAGGAUGAUUCAACAAACUAGCACAUGCAUAGCUAAGAAUUCAAGUCAGCUAAUAUUUUUAUCCUUAUUCUCUGUCGCGUUUAAUAUUUUUAUCCUUAUUCUCUGUCGCAUUUAAUGUUUUUAUCCUUAUUCUAUGUCGCGUUAUCAAUUACAACUAAUCAAGUAUUAAUUUGAAUAACAUAUUGUAUGUUACUUAUGUUACUUCCGUUUUGUGUUAAACUAUUUAAAAUAAAAUUACUCCAAUAAUAUGGCUCCAUUGGGGUCGUGCUCGAAUUGCAAGAAGUCGUUCUUUGACCAUGAACGGUUCAAAGCCUAUAAGAAAUCAGGGGAACUAAGAUAUACACAUUACUAAAGCUAUAUAUUAAUCAUAUUAAUUAGUUUAAUUUCGAUCUAACGAUGAAUUAUUGAGAGGUGAACACUCUAGCUUCAUGUUCCGUUUUACUUGCUAUUCACGCAAUCAAACGCCGUUCUGCAGGCGCAAAGAAUAUUAAGUCUCCAGAUGCAUAGUAAUGGUAUAUACCAACAAGUUUCCUUCUCUGAAGCUUGGAAAAUGCUGUUCUGCUUGAUGAUGCAGCAGUUUCUUUCUUUUCUUCAUUUGUGCCCAGUUCGAAGGCGAACUCCGAAACCAAGGCCAAGUGAUCGCUUCCCACUUUCUGUAUAGAAGUAUGAGAAGAGAAUAGGGGUAGGUUCGGUUCCAUUUGGUUCGGUUUUUGGUUGAAACCGGAAACCAAACCGAAGUUACUGUUCGGUUUGGUUUUUAUUCGGUUCCAUUCAGUUUUUUUCGGUUUCAUUUUUUUUCGGUUCGGUUUCAGUCCGGUGUGUGGUUUUUCCCUUGAAAAUUGUUUUUUUUUUUGUUAAUAUUUAAAUUUGGAUAUUGGUAAACUAGCCCAAAAGAGGACUUGCCAAACUAGCCCAAAAGACCCAACAAACAGUAAAGGCAAAAAACCUAAGCUUCCACUGCAGCACCCGUCACUGAGCAUCCCUACUUGCAUAAACCCUCGCCAUCAACCAACCGACGUCUCGCCGAUUGCCACAUCCAGCCACAAGCACUUGUCCGAACAUAGCCAAAUAGACGAGAACCAAGGGCUUAAUAAAGAGUAAAGAUCCAAAAACCAAAGAUAUUUACCAUAUAGGGCUCCACAAAGACAAAUCCAAGAACAACAUCAACCAAUUUUCCUUCAAAACUCACAAACCAACAGUCCAAACAAACAUCAGCAACAUUUUUUAGAUGAUCAAAAAACACAAAAACAAAAAGAAAGAUUGAUUAAACAAUUAUAUGAAAAUCCAAACGGAAGAUUUCUCGAUCAAUCUGCACAUAAUUCAUCUGUUGAACCACCUCCAAGUGGCUUCCGUUGUUUACAAGAGUGCGAAUGUAAAAGAUAAAAUAAAUUUACAAAUUUGCAAAGGGUAAUGAUUCUGAACCCAAUCAUUCAAUCACAAAUUAACAAAUUUACAAGAUUGGGAACAAAAUAGAUGAAAUUGAUAUAGCGAGAGCACCGUUUUCGAACAUGAACUUCUUGAAUCAGGCAUCGCGGCGGUGACCCACCUAAAAAUGAUGAACGGAUUGCUGCAAAUCCUUGUAUAAAUCGCUUGUAGUUGUAGACAUUCGAGCGUUCAACGAAGAAAUCAUGGAGGUGCAAGAAUUCGACGGUGGGAGAGAGAAAGCCUGGAAAGUCAGAAAAAAGGAGAUGAAAUAGCAGUAAAUGAGACGACUAGGGUUUUGUGUUUAGAAAUCUUAUAAAGAAUUAAAGAUCCAUAACCAGUAUAAAUAUUUUACUAAUACGAUUGCAACACAAAGCUUAAUGUCAAGUUGGCUGAAGCAAACACUCUCAACUAGGAGGUAAGGGGUUCGAAACAUUUGGCCUCUAGAUUUUGAGUAUUUGUAAAUGAUAUAUAUUAAAUAAUUAAAAAUAAAUCGGUUCAGUUUGAUUCGGUCUAGUUUCUGGACCACAAAAACUGAAACCAAACCAACCUAUUUUAGUUCAGUUCGGUUUUUUUGGCUUUGGUUCGGUGUUCAGCUUGGUUUUUUUCAAUUUUCGGUUUUCUGAACCCACCCUAGAAGAGAGAAUCAGAUUUGAAGAUAACAUUAUAUACAUUUAUUCGAAACAGCUAGCCCAUCAUUGCCACGCUGACUAGGAGUAAAAUGCAAAGAAUCACACACACGCACACACAGAAUCUCCAUCAACCCCACAAAUGCAUGUAUAUGUCACUCUAAUCAUUGAGAGCCUUCGUAAAGUUUUCCCUCAAAUGGGUCCAGUAGCAGAAUCAAAAGUUGUCCUACCUUGCAAGGGAGGCUACCAAUCCUCUGGAGAACAUCAACUGGAACAGUGUCUAUAUAACUCUAGUGGGCACAAGACCAUCGGAGUACCUAUACGAAACAAGAAUUUCAUAUGAUUCAUCGGCAUAGCCAUUGUCAUAACCAACUCCACCGCGCGACAUUACAAUUGAUGUUACAAAAUUUAAGAAAAGCAAUUUACCAUAAGUAGUCACCGGUUCCAAAAAGUAGGAAGUAGCUACAGAUUCUUUUUUUUUUAAUUUUUGUAGCGACGGAUUAGGCGAGAUUAGCUCUUCGUCAACAGUCGCGUGCGAGGCACCAACCCUCUCCCAAAGGAGAAAUGACCGUUGCACCCAGAAACCCCCCGCCCGUCCCCCCUCUACAAGAUUUUAUUAAUAAUAAGAAGAAGAAAAAAAAGAAAAGUAGAACAAACGGGGGGACUAGGCCAAAACCCUCUAAAAACAAUUAAUGAAAAUGAUAUGGACUAGUUUAAGGUUGCUUAGCUUCAGUCACCUAAAAUUGAAUUCCCAUAAUUCAAUUGUUUAUAUUUCUUUCCCAAAAUCCUCUUCCAUAGCAACAAUUUGCUCCUCAUGAGCUCAAACGGAAGAAUGGAAGCCCGACACAAUCUCUUCUAUAAGACGCAUCAACAAAAUCGGGUACCAAGUCCCACCACGUACAGCUACUAUUCAUUGCACCAAAAUUAGCAAAAGCAUCCGCCAAACAAUUCCCUUCCCUGAAAAUAUGCGAAAAACGCAAAUGCAAGCGAGCAAUAUGCCAUAAACAAAUUUGCCCAAGAAACUUUAAGAAACCAUGGAACAUCCUUGGAGUGAGCUGAUAGUAGGCUGAUGAUAUGCAUAGAAUCUGUCUCUAACCAAAUGUUAUGCCAUUCUUUAUCCCAUGCAAUCAGAAUUGCCUCGAUGACAGCCACAAUCUCCACAACAACUGCACUUGGAUAAGAAGAUGAGGAGGCAAACGCUCAUAAAAAAAAGACCACUGGAGUCACGAAAAACACCACCACUACCCACUUGACCAUUCCCUUUACAAGACUUGUCUGUGUUAAUCUUAAUCCACCCAACAGGAGGUGGACGCCAAAACAUAGGCACGAAACUAAGAGCAUCCAAAGAAAGGGAUGAAAUUCUUAACAUAGAGAAUAUGGGAAUCGAUACACAACCAGUGAAAGAAGAAAAACAAGUAGAAGCUAACUCCCUCCAAUGCCAUAAAAGACAAUGUUAGGACUCGACAAUACUGAAACUUUUGUUCUCAAACCUGAUCUUGUUCCUUUCGUGCCGAAGUCACCAAAAGAAACUGCAAAUAACCAAUAACCAAAGUUUCCGAACAGAUGUGGGGAAAUAUGAGACCAAGGAACCAUAAAAAAUAUCUUCAAUGCAUUGCCAAGGAUCAUAAGGCUUGCCAAAAAUAAUGAAAAUCCAUUUCCAUAAAACAACUGUUUGAGGACAAUGUAGAAGAAGAUGGUUACAAGAUUCCCUAGCAUUAUGACAAAAACCGCAAUAAGAAGCUAAAGCCACACCUCGGCGUUGCAAUAAAUCAUCAGUCAAUAAUCUUCCAUGACAAGCUUUUCAAACUACUAAGCUUUUGCAUGGCUGAAUAGAUUGAUGCCAAACCAUUUUAGCCCAUUUUUUACGUGGAGCGUGAGAUGAGAAAAAAAAGAAAAGCCUCCUUAGCUGAAACAGUACCCGAAGAUGAACCUGUCCAAAAUAACGCAUCAUCCAUGUGUGCAAUUGGCAAUGGAGUCUUCAUAAUCUUCUCCAAAAGAUGAGGAAAAUAAGAAGUAAAGACAAUGGGAAGAGACCAUUUUGCAUCCUGAAUAAAAUCUUUUACCUUUGAAUUCAAGGGAAUUAUGUCAACCUCACCAAUAUUAGAGAGCAAAGUGGUUCCAAGCUAGUUAUCAUACAAAAAAGCAAUCUUACAACCAUCACCAACACUUCAUUGAAGGGAAUUAUAGAAGGAGGGCCAUAAUUGUUUAAGCCCCAACCAAACAGAAGACUUUUUAUAAGACUUUAGCAAAUGAAAGUUGUCUUUAAGAAAUCUGUUACGUAACCAAUCCGAAGCCGGUGAGGAAGAAGAAAUUACAUCCCAACAUCUUUUAAGAAGGAGAGAACGAUUGGAUUCAAAAAGAUCUCGGAUACCCAAACCACCCUUUUCUUUCAACUUACAACAAGAACUCCACGCUAUUAGAGGCAUACCUCGUUUUAACGGAUCACUAGACCAAAAGAAAUUUCUAAUCCACCCUUGAACUUCACGUAGCAAAUUAGUAGGCCAAGCAUAAAUUUGAAAACUAUAAACCAAGAUUCCUUGAAUUACUGAAUUAAUAAAUUGGAGUCUCCCUACUUGUGAAAGCAAAGAACCCUUCCAAGCCAUCAACUUGCAACGAAUCUUGUCAGCAAUGGCUUGAAAAUAGAUCAUUUUCGGAUGACUCUGAAAGAUAGGGACACCUAGAUAAGUAAAAGGCAGAUUUCCUCGACUUACACCAAGAACCUUCUGAAUAAUAGCAUGCCGACUGCUUGCAUAUUUCCCAAGAAAAACUAAAGAUUUUAAUUUAUUUAUGCAUUUCCCAUAAUUUAAGUUGUACUCCUCUACAAAACGCAUUAGGUUACGCAUAGAUCGCUUAGUUCCACGCAUGAAAACCAUAAUAUCAUCUGCAAAAAAAAACAUGAGAUGGUGGAGCAAUACCCAUGGGAACUGAAAAAGUGUCAAUUAGAUCAUCUUCCACCAUCUUUGUAAACCCCUGCUAAAAACCUCCUCAGCUAGACAAAAGAGAAUAAGAGACAAGGGAUCCCCUUGACGAACACCACGAGAACAUGGGAAAAAACCUUCAACUGAACCAUUAAUAAGGACAGAAAGAUGAACUUAAGUUAGAAUAAAAUGAAUCCAAUCCACAAAACCUGUUGAAAAACCAAAAGCAUCCAAAACCCGAAGAAGAAAACCCCAAUCCAAAGUGUCAAACGCCUUUCGAAGGAAACAAAUACAAACCUAUACACGGGUGCAAUGACAAGACACAAUUCAAGACAUUUGAAGCAUCAACUGACAAUCAAAAGGUUUUAAUGGGGAAUCAUAAUUCCGCCAAAGUUCUAGGAAAUGGAACCAUUGAACUUCAGUUUACUUCUGGGAAGAAAUUGACGUUGCUUAAUGUACUACAUGUCCUAGAAAUUAGAAAGAAUCUUGUGUCUACAAAUUUAUUAUGUAAGGAUGGUAUAAAGACUGUUCUGGAGUCCGACAAGUUAAUAAUGUCAAAAAAUGGGAUGUUUAUUGGAAAUGGGUAUUCUUGUGAUGGGAAAAUGGGAUGUUUAUUGGAAAGGAGUAUUCUUAUGAUGGGAUGUUCAAACUAAGUAUUAAUAAUGAAGUGAAUUCUUCUGCUUAUAUUGUUGAAUCUUCCUCUCAUUUAUGACAUAUAUGUUUAGCACAUGUAAAGUUUAGAUCUUUAAAAUACAUGCGCACACUUGGUUUAAUUGCUUGUAAUGAUGAUUAUAAUGAUAAAUGUGAAACAUGUAUUCAAGCAAAAAUGACUAAGAAACCUUUUCCAACUGCUGAAAGAAAUACAAAUUUAUUAGACAUAAUACAUUCUGACAUAUGUGAAUUUAAUGGUGUGGAAAAAGAUAUUUUAUCACAUUUAUAGAUGAUUGUUCUAGGUUCACUUAUGUUUAUUUAUUAUCUAAUAAAGAUGAUUUUUUGAGUGUUUUAAGCGCUAUAAGGCUGAAGUUGAAAACGAAAAGGAAAGGAAAAUUAAAUGCAUUCGUAGUGAUAGAGGUGGUGAAUAUUUUUCACAUGAACUCGAUAUUUUUUCUGAAGAACAUGAUGUUGUGCAUCAAAGAACUGCAUCUUAUACAUCACAAUAAAAUGGUUUGGCAGAAAGAAAAUAGGACACACUGAGAUGAUUAAUUCUAUAAUGAUUAAUGCUAAUAUUCCUAAAUAUUUAUGAGGUGAAGCAUUAUUUACUGUAUGCCAUAUACACAAUAAAAUUACAUCUACGAAGACACAUGUGUCACCAUAUGAAAUUUGGAAAUGAAGAAAACCAAAUUUGAGAGUAUGAGGUUGUGUAGCUUUUUAUGAGGCACUUCAUCCUAAGAGAUCCAAGUUGGGUCCAAGAUUAAUUAAAAGCAUAUUUGUAGGAUAUGUAGAAAAUUCAAAAGCAUAUAGGUUGCUUAAUUUAGACACAAUCACAAUAGUUGAGUCUAGAGAUGUCAAAUUUAUAGAAACUGUAUUCUAUAAUGACUACUCAAUGUCCGGGAAAAAGAAUGAUCAAACACCCUUCUCUACUAGUUCUUCUUAAGGUGAGAAAAUAAAACAGUCUGAAACUGUUAAUGAACCAAGGAAAAGCCAAAGUGUUAGAAAAGAAAAGACUCUAAGAAAAGAAAAGACUCUAGGCCCAGAUUUCAUUUAGAAAAAAAAAAGGUUCUACAAUACCUAUAUUGUUGAAUGUUGAAGAUGAUCCUAAAAGUCUAAGCGAAGCAAUGACUUCGAGAGAUACAGCAUUUUGGAAAGAGACUAUAGAUGAUGAAUUUGAAUUUAAUAUAUAAUCAGACAUGGGUUUUAGUAGACUUGCCUCAAGGAUCAAAAGCAAUAGGUUGUAAGUGUGUGUUUAGAAGAAAAUAUGACACAUACGGGUCUAUUCAAACAUUUAAAGCCAAACUAGUUGCCAAGGGUUUUAAGCAGAAAAAAGAAAUAGACUAUUUCAAUACAUAUGCACUAGUAGCUAGGGUCACAUCAAUUAGAAUAUUCUUUGCAUUGGCGUCUUUAUUUAAUUUGCAUGUGCAUCAAAUGGAUGUGAAAACAUCAUUUUUAAAUGGUGAUUUGGAUGACGAAGUCUACAUGGAACAACCAUAAGGGUUUGUUGUUUUUGGGAAUGAAAAGAAAGUUUGUAAAUUAGCAAAGUCAUUAUAUGGAUUCAAGCAAGCACCAAAACAAUGACAUUAAAAGUUUGAUUUUGUCAUUUUAUCAUAUGUUUAUACGUUGAUGACUUGCUAAUUUUUCGUAUAAAUAUGAAAGGUGUAUCUGAAACUAAAAAGUAUCUAAAUUCAAAAUUCAAGAUAAAGGACUUAAAUGAAGUAGAUACUAUAUAUCUUGGGAAUUAAAGUAAAGAAUCAUAGUAGGGGUUACGCUGUGUUAGUCACAUUAUAUACAAAAAUUGCUUCUUAAGUUUAAGCAUCUACAAAUAAAAGAAGCAAAUACCCCUUAUGACCCUAGUGAGACUUUACUUAAUAAUUCUGGCAAUUCUGUUGCACAGCUUAAGUAUGCUAGUGUAGUCGGAAGUUUAAUGUAUGUUAUGCAUUGUACCAGGCCAGAUAUCGCAUUUACAGUAAGUAAAACUUUCUAGAUACACUAGUCAUCUAGUUACUGCUCAUUGGAAUACAAUGGAAAUUCUAGACUUAUUAGCUUGAGACAUGAAUAUGUCAAGCAAUUAAUAACUCAUGGGGUUAUUAAUAUUAUUUAUGUUAAAUCAAGUAAUAACUUGGCAGAUCCAUUAACGAAAGAACUUUCAAGAGCUUUGGUAGUUAGUACAUCUAGUGGAAUGGGGCUAAAACCCUUUACUAAAAAUUAGCCACCAAUAAUGAUAACCCGACUUUGUCUAGAACAUCACUAGUUUAAGAGUUUAAUAGGUAAUAACAAGUUAUUGAUAAGUGGUUGUAAAAACACUAAUAAUUAAUACAUGGCUCAUUCCAGGAUGAUCAAUGCAAAACUGCUACGUUAGGAGGAUGAGUUUUAUCUUAAUGAAGUUAUUUGUAGUUAUGUCUAUAGUAGCAGGGACAUGGGAAGGAACCUCGCCUAUGUGAACAUAAGAAGUGAUGCCGCUUCUACCAAGAGUUGGGUUUUCUCUUGUAAAUUUUCAUGAAACUAUGAUGAAGCACAAGGCCAGAAUAGUGCUUAAUUAGUUCAUAAAUUUCUUUAAGGAAAUAAGACAUAGUCAUGUAUGUAGUGAUUCCGGUUUUAACAUAAGAAUAGUUGGUUUAAACUUAGGUCACUAUCGCAUUCGUUAUAACUUUGAAUUAGUUACACUAAUUAAAGGUUUAAUUCGAAAGACACAUUUAUUGUAUGCAUAAUUAUAUCGGUAUGCUUGUGAUUAAUUAUAAGGAGAGAAUUCUUAUAUGUCCUUUAUUAUAUAUUUUUAUAAUAGGGAAGGAUUGUUGAAUAUUUUAAUAAUAUAUUAAUAUAUUCGUGCGGAAGAAGUUGGGUAUUUGCCCAACAGUUACUCUUCAUCAGAUUAAAGCAAUGUGGCUUUUCCAACUCUGCUAAAAGACAUGAUCCAUGUCUUGACUAGUGCAUAGUUUACUAACAGACAUAACCUUUGGUAACUGAUGCUUUGCAUUAGACAUGCGUAUUGGGCAUAUUACUGUAAUAUUAAUUCAAUUGUAUCUUAUGGCAAGAAGGCAUACCCAAAACCAAAGGUUGUAUCUCAUGCCGAGAAGGCAUAUCCAAAACCAAAUGAUAUGUCUAACAGGUGCAAUCUCUCCCCUAUAUAUUGGUAAAUUGGUAGAAGAGAAAUUCAUUCAGAAAUUUGUUGUCUACACAAUUUCCUUGCUCUCUCUUCUCUCUCCAUCACAUUCAUACAAUUUCUUUCUAGUUAUUUCUAAGGGAAUAUAAUUCAAUUUUGCUAAUUAAAUAUUCUAUAUUUUGUUGUAUCUUGGUAGUGAUUUGCCAAGAAUUUUUUAGCAAACUUAUUUAAGUGGGGGCAAAUAACACUUUAAGGAAACGAUUCAAGUUGUACCUCAAAAUCAUCUUUCAGUUUAUUCUCCAUAUUUCUACAUCUACUCAACACCCGUCUACCAACAAGUGGACUGCUAACUUCUUGUUUGGCACCUAAGAUUUGAGCAGGAUGACAAUCUCUCUGCCCAGAUAACUCUCUUCUAUCAAAUAACAUAAUCUUCAGCUGUAAAAAAAACGAGACAGAUUUCAAAAAGCAUGUUGGAUGUAUCGCGUUCUAUUGGAAGUUCAAAUAAAAGCGUUAUUUCAAUUUUGUGUGCUGCUAGCUUUUUUUUUACUCAGGCUUCCUACACUUACCAAAAUUAAAUGCUUCUUUUGAGCUAGCCGAAAAUGUGGUUGCAACCACUGGAGUAAUGCAGUGUGUGUGCAAAGGUCUAAAGCUACUGCAUGUGUUUUAAGGAGGAAGAUUCUCUCCCCUUCUAAUCUUUCUCUCCUUCUUUCUCCUUCUAUUUGAACAGUUACGAUUUGACCAGGUCAACAUUUUAUAUUGAUUUUUUUAUAAAGACAAUAAGACAAAAAGCAAUAUGUGAAAGGAAAUGAGAGAAAUGGAUGAAAAUAAGAGGGAAGAGAGUCCUACUCCGUGUUUUAAAGGGCGUAAAGACUUUUGAACUUCUUCAUUUAUUUUUCAUGUUAUGUCGUUGUUUUGUAUUGUUUAUUAAAAACCGCUUGUGUGGUUCUUUCUUUUCUGCACAUACAAGUCAGUCUUCCCCGUAAGGCUUUAGGGGUCUAAUCCCAUUCUAUCUACAAGGAAUCAGUUUGUAAACUCCUUUAAUAUAUCAAAGUAUUGUCAUCAUAGAAGCUUGCUGCUUCCUUUCUCUUUUAUCUUUUCUGUCCAAUUUCAUUGAGAGUGAACAUGAGACGUGUGAUAGAAUUCGUAAACUUAUCACCUACAUAUUUAUUGAGUUAGUUAACUUUCAACACCAACUAGUCCAUCAGUAUCCGCGUGACCAAAAAUUAUAUUAUCCAAGCGGACAACAUCAGCAAGUCACGUCAGAUUUGACAAGAACUUUUUUCACUCUUUCAAUAAGCAGGGAAGUAACUCAACUUAAUUUGUCACUGUUAAAGUACGUAGAGUAAAUAAUGACAAUGUUAUAUGGAUGAACUCUGGGGCUUAAGAAUAUCAAACCUGAGGAGUGCUGUUGAAAUCGCCACAAAGGACAACAGGGGCAUUACCUCAUCUCUCCGAAAGGAUUUUCGCCCUCGAUAUGAGAAGAUGUAUCUGGAAACAAAAUGAUAUAUAGACCUUGUUCAUCAGUGUCAGGGAACAGACAUUUUGCUUUAUGCACUAGGAAAUGAACAUGAAUGUAAAAGAAGGUACCUGGCCUAAUUUUACUUCCCCUCGGGUUGGGUUAUGAAGCACGUGGAUGUUACCGAUCAGUAACUUUCUUGAUUCAGCUUUUUGCAUCUCAACUGUCUCCCCUUGACGGGGUUGUACCACAGGCGACUAGUGUCGAACGAGUAGACGACGAUGAUGAGGAGGAGGACGAGUCUUUGGGAGCGGUAGUUGGUAAGGUUGUUGCGACGAACACAUGGCCCCCACAGAGCCAAGGGGAAGCAUCGCACCGCAUCGUAGAGGAUGAGGUGGUGUUGCGCGGACGUGUGAGUGUCUUACGAUUUAAAGGGAUAUUUGAAUUGGAUUUGCCUAUCUUCUUAACUUCUUGACUUUCGACUUCCAAAUCCCUAUUGCUUAUGAAAACUGUGGCGCCACUGUAAUUAUUUUAUGAGCUGGUUUUAUAGGAAAAUGAAUUUCACACACUUAAUUGGUUAUUUUUAACCUUGUCUUUACUCUUCAUUCUUAAUAAUUCUGAAUUGCAAUGAUGAAUCUUGUGAACGGGAUUCAGUUCUUAGAGCAGCGAUGUUGUGGUUAUUUUCUCUGAGGGGUACAAUAAAGAGAGGAAGAGAGAGAUGAACGGCUUGAGGAAUUCUCAGUGUACUAUUUCUCAUGUCUUGUCUUAAGAAUUUUAUCGAGGCCCAUUGCAUGCACCAUAGUACACGUGCCGUCCUCCGUCAGCCACCGCUCCGGCAAAUACUCGCGGCAGUUAUUCCCCCAUAUCCUCUCCAUCCACCCCAUCGCUUAAGCAUGGUAUGUAACCAACCACCCUCCCCACGACCAUACCGUCCAGCCAGACGUCGUCAUUUAGACAUGCCUUCGAGUCGACUGGUACGGGUGGGUACAGCCGCAUCGCCGUGUGCAAAUAGUGCAUGUCUCGGAGCUCGUCCAAAUCAUAAAUAUCGCCGACACGUUUCCUAUUUACUGUUCAGGUUAAAUGUGUCUUAUUCAUGCAGUUAUGUCUAACAGGGAGCUUAUUUUCUAGUUACAUCUAAUACACCUACUUUAUCGGUGGGCUUAUUUUAAUUUCUAGUUACAUCUAAUACACCUAAUCACAUCAACUCCCUUAAGUCAAGGGAAGAUAGCUGGAAGAGAAAAAAGAGAAACCAGACAAAGGUUAGGUUACACACUUUACACUUUACACACUUUACACUUUUACUAUAAAACACCUCCUUUGAGUUCAUGAGCAAAUGCCCCAUUUCUCUCACACAGAAAGCCAGAAUGCUUCCUUCAGCAAUAUCCAUCCUCCUACUCUUCCUUACAUUCCUUUGGUAUCUCAUCCACAUCCUGACCACUGCCUUCCAGAGGCCAAAACACCGAAAGCAGCUGCCAGGGCCUUGGGCACUACCAAUAAUUGGUAACUUUCAUAUGCUAGGCAACCACCCACACCACAGCCUCCAACACUUGGCCAAAAAAUAUGGCCCCAUAAUGUCCAUUCGCCUCGGCUUGGUACCCACCAUAGUGGUCUCAUCUCCUAAAGCUGCAGAGCUGUUCCUUAAAACCCAUGACACCGUCUUUUGUAGCCGCCCCAAACUCCAAGCCGCUGAGUACAUAUCGUAUGGUAUAAGGGGUAUUGCCUUUACUGAAUAUGGUCCAUACUGGCGCCAUAUUAGGAAGCUUUGCACGAUGCAGCUUCUUUGUCCGUCAAAAAUUGAGGAUUUUGCUCCGUUAAGAAGGGAGGAGGUGGGGUUGUUGGUGCAGUCGCUAAAGAAAGCCGCGGAGGCAGGUGAGGUGGUGAAUCUUAGUGAAAAGGUCGGUGAGCUUGUUGAGGACAUAACAUAUAGGAUGGUAUUGGGGAGUAAAAGUGAUGAUAUGUUUGAUAUCAAGACAAUUAUUAGGGAUGUCAUGUCCGUGCUAGCUUUAUUCAAUAUUGGCGAUUAUGUGCCUUUCCUCAGGCCACUGGAUAUUCAGGUACGCAACAUGCUAUGCAUAGUCGUCUCUGACGUAGUUUAUGCAACAUUACAUUAUUUGAUAAUCAUUUAAUUUUGUGUUUUUAGUUUUCCACUUUUUUGCUCGAUAUAUUUUAUGUAUACUCUUCCCAUAAAUCCCUCCCACCACCAUUUUCCCCACAUUAUUUUUUCCCCUUCUCUAUCUUUAAAAAAAAAAAAAAACCCUAAAACCCCAAUUUAUAUGAUUAUCAAAUAGGUCUUAAGAUUACUUAUCAUGCAUAUAUUAACCUUUUCUUCUUCUUAGGGAUUGACCAAACGCAAUAAGAGAAUUAGCAAGAUAGUCGACCAACUUUUUGAAAAGAUAAUAUGGGAACAUGAACAAGUUUCUAAGAGUGAGCAAGUACAAGGCCAUCAUCAUCACAAGGACUUUGUUGACGUUGUGCUUUCAUUAAUACACCAGCCAUUAAAUCCCAACGAUGAGCAAGGCUACAGGAUUGAACGAACAGAUGUGAAAGCCAUCUUACUCGACAUGAUUACGGGUUCCUUUGACACUUCAGCUACCGCAAUUGUUUGGAACCUUGCCGAACUGUUGAGGCACCCGAGGGUGUUGAAACAUCUCCAAGAAGAGCUCCAACGUGUGAUCGGAACAGACCGAAUGGUGGAAGAGAGCGAUCUGCGAAUGUUAAGUUACUUAAAUGCGGUGAUCAAGGAGAGCUUUAGACUACACCCAAUUGCACCAUUUUUAGUUCCUCGGGAAUCCAUGCAGGACGUUACGGUCGACGGAUAUUACAUACCUAAGAAAUCGAAAAUUCUAAUAAACACUUGGGCUAUUGGAAGAGAUCCUAACGUUUGGUCGGAUAAUGUGGGAGAAUUUUAUCCUGAAAGGUUUAUAAAUAGCAAUGUUGAUCUUCGGGGGCAUGACUUCCAGCUUCUACCCUUUGGGUCUGGCAGAAGAGGUUGCCCUGGUAUGCAAUUAGGGUUAACCACAGUUCGGCUGGCUCUGGCAAACAUUGUCCACUGCUUUAACUGGGACCUUCCAAGUGGCCUCCUACCUCAAGACUUGGACAUGACUGAGACGUUCGGCUCGGUACCGACAAAGCCCAACCACUGCUCGCCAUGCCGACCUACCGCCUGGAGACUAAAUAGACGUUUAUCCGUUUUCUAUCGAUUUAUUAAAUGCUGUAAGAAAUUAUAUCAGGUCGGGUGGCUU